This 75926-nucleotide long non-coding RNA is filed under the name Vitis vinifera (wine grape). RNAcentral's name for it is "long non-coding RNA (VVIN_LNC001392)". The stretch from base 8213 to 8284 matches the Rfam family "tRNA". The record is from RNAcentral. Lineage: Eukaryota; Viridiplantae; Streptophyta; Magnoliopsida; Vitales; Vitaceae.
GUCUCCUCAGGAGGUUGAGAUGUGGGCAAUUGAAUGGUGGCAUCCAUGCCCUUGGUUUGCAUCUCCUGUUGAACAUCCUCACCCCCUAAUCCUUUAUGGUCACCCUCAGUCUCUAUCUAUAGAAUCUCUGCCUCUUACUCAACCCGGUCUUCAUUCAUAGCAGGACCCUUUCUUUUUCUUUCCAAUGAUCCAUUAGGCAAUUUCUCAAACAGCAUUCGGUCUGGAUUUUACGUUAUAGGUAUCAUAGGAUGAGGCCUGAAUGUUUUUUUCUCUUCUUAUGUCCACAUUGAAUGCUUUCAGGAUUUUUGUGAUCAGUCUUCUUCCGUUGGCCACUACUUUAGAAUUGCUUUUACAACAGUUUUUCAUGUGUUGAAAGAUGAUAAGGAAACCUUAGAAUGGAUCGGAGUCAAUAGAAAAUGCUACAUAAUAGGACACCUUGUCUCUAUGUCCACCCUUAGGUAGAAAAAUAUGUUUGAUCAUGUGGUGGUGCACCCUAGAGAUAAUGCUCAAGGCAUGGGCAUGGAGCUUUGAAGUCACUGUGUCGAUGGGUAAGUUACAUAUCCUCUAGAAAGCCCUACCUAGGUUAAAACUAGACACUAUAGGCCAUCCCUUCGUCUCAAAUAAACAAAGUCCCCCACAAAGGAUCUCCAAAAUAUCACAAAGCAUAUCAAUAUUUAGUUUAAUUCAACUCCUCUAACAAAUGUGCUAAUUGGCCUUCAUAUAUUUUAGGUUCAAGUAAAAUACCUGAACAAGGUUGGGGUAUGUAGGCUCUCUUGAUGAGAUGGUAUUGGUGAGUAUUUUUUUUUCUUCAAUACAAAACUAUUACAACACUUGGUUUUUUUUUUUUCUAAAAAAAAAAGAAAAAUAAAAAUAGUUUUAUAUUAUACUUAGUUUCAAGAAAAAUAAUAAUCAAAGCAAAAUGAAAAAAAAAUUCUCAUAUUGGUUUCUCGUGAAAAAUAUAAAAGCAAAUAAAAUACAAUUAAAAUUAAUUAAAAUCUUAUGUAUUUUUAAAUUAUUAAUUUUUAUAUAAAAAAUGAAAAAUAGUAUAAUGAAUUUAGAAGAAUAUAUAAAAAUAAUGUAUUAACUUUAAAUCUUUUUUUCUUUAUAUAUAUAUUUUCCCUUCAAUUUUCUAAUACCAACACAUAAUAAGGUUAAUGUCUUCUAGCCAACCAAUUGUAAGUCAAUUUUCAUAGAGCUUUUUUUUUUUUUUUUUUUUACAUGCCACCAAGUAGUUAUAUAAGCAUUUUUGCAUGUUAUUGUUAUCCAACAUACAAUAACUAUAACAUCCAAUUAUUAUGAACAUGAACAAUAAAAUUAGAUGCAACUAACUAUUUAGUGUAUAACAAGAAGUUGGUGAAGUAAUUCAUCCUAACAUGAUUCAACAAUUUUUGUUUAUUUUUCAAGAUUAAUUAUAACAUACCCAUUCUAUUAAAGUUGUUGAGAUAUUUGAGCAAAACUAAAAAUCAACAUUAAUUCAUUUUAUACCCACAAGAGAAAUAAGAUUUGUUUUUUUGUUUGAUAAUAAAGUAGUUGUAGUUAUUAAUGAUAAUUUUGAUCCUAAUUUAAUAGGUAUCCAAAAAAAAAGGAAAAAUGCAAGUAAACCAAUUCUUAUCUAACACAAUUAUUACCACCUUAAAAUCCUGAGGGGUAGCUCAGUUGAUCAGUUCGAGUCCCUUUAGGACCAUGAAAAGCUUACCCGAUGGUUCACCUUAAGAAAAGCAAAGCAUUUAUAUAAUUCAACUGGUAGUUGAUAAGUCUUAGAAAGGGUUUUGCCAUCAUUGGCUUCUCAGUAAAGGGCAAAUUUGGGUUGUGGCUGACAAUUAUUGAAUUUGUGAAGAAAUAUGUGAAGAAAGGAAACAAAAAGAGUUGAGGACAGAAUUCUUCAAUUAAAAAAUGGUUAGCCCAUGAACCCAUUCUUCAAACAGUAAGCCAAUGAGCCAAUGAGCCAAAAAGAAAGAAGAACAGCUGGUUUCAUCUUUUUAUCUUAAUGACUUUGACAACCCAUCUUUCUUUUAAAUACUUGUGACUUUGGAAUAUAAUUAAAAUGAAACUUUGGAAUGCCCACAUCUGAUUCACGGCCUUUUUACCUGUUUUCUUGUUUAACAUUUUUUUAAAUAUUAUAACAGAUGGAAAAACAUGAUUCUAACAGGCUGGAAAAUAGUGGAAGUUGGAACACCAACCAUAACCAAACUAUACCUUCCAUCUUUCUCCAACACUCGGAAUUAUUGAUACAAGUUGGUGGUUUUAUGAUUGUUUCUAUUGAGGGGACCCCUCUCCAUUUCCAAUUUCAAUGGAAAGGUUCUUCUUUCCCUACUUUUUUUUUUUGUUUUUCAAAUUCUUGUAGUUUUGUCUGUCUCUCUCAACAAAGCAAACUGCAAUCACUAAUUCAAAGAAAAGGAAUCCUAAAUGAAAAGAAAAGAAAGGAAAGGAAUGGUAAUUUAGGCUAUGAUGAUGCUCCUAUAUAAUGGCUGUAAGUCAAUAACAACACACUGGACCCGCCUCCUAUCUCAAAAGAUCACAAACCCAAAUAUCAUAUACUUCCAAAUUUCAAUUUGGUUCCCUGUUUAUAUCACAAUCUGUCCUAUAUCCUCUUAAUACAUCUAAAAUCUCUCUAUAUCAUAAAAAUAAUGAUGGAAAAAAAAAUUAAAAAGAAAGAAGGAAAAAAUGACAAAAAAAAAAAAACCUUGGUGCUGCUAUGGGUCCAUAGGAAUUGGCAGGACUGCACUUCUGGAUCCCCUUCCAUGGCCAAAAGAAAAGAAUGAUCUUCGGAAUCUGCUGCUGCAACCUUCACUAGGGCUGAAGUCACUGACAGGCCUGUUCUGUUGCAAAAUCUCUUGAAUUGCUAAAUACAGCUGCCUGUCGUUGGAUGAGUCCAUUGAAAAAGACCUCCUGAUGGGUUGGAUUGAGAACUGAUCAUCUUUGCCUCUAGUGUCAAUGCACUCAUCACCCAUGCUUGCAACAUGAUGAAACUUCCUUGCCUUUUUAGGCACAAUUCUCUGCUCUAGCUUCCUAGGUGAUGGACUAAUUGAUGGCGCAGAUAACUCUCUGGAAUUCAGUCUUUCUGGUGGCCUAAGCAGUGAUGAAUCAGCAGAACUAUCAUUUCCCAAUUCAAUUACUACAAAAUCUUCAUCCCCUCCUAUGUAAUUAUUGGCGUAGGGGCUUGGAUCUUGGGGGGAAGAGCUAGGAGCAAUGAUUUGGUGAACAGGAAACCGGGGUGUGGUUGAAAUGCUUGUUCUGCAAAGUGGGCAAUUAGCAUUGCUUUGAAGCCACACGUCUAUGCAAUCUAUAUGAAAUAUGUGACUGCAGUUUGGUAUGAUUCUUAGCUUCUCUUCUUCUUGAAACUCAUUCAAGCAAACCGCACACUCGCAAUGGCUUCUUUCUCCAAACUCUCUGCCACCUCCUUUCCUGAACUGGAAUAUUGGGAUUGAUCUGAUGACUGACUCGUCCAGGCCUCGACUCUCGAUUGCUGGGGAGUACACCAUUAAAGGGUCUUCCGGGUGCCGACUCCUUGAGAAAGAAAAUCGUCUCAGCAGAUCAAUCCGGUGCCAAUUGAGGCAGCAUUUGAUUACAAAGAUGUAGUAGCUCACCAGCAAGAAAGCAGUGGCCAGGAUUCCUAUUACGGCAAUGGCUAUAAUGGGGAAACUGGUGUCCGAGGAAUGAGAGGGAGAAGGAAGCACUGAGCUCGCCUGGCUUUUGAUGGGAGAAAAGGCUUGUGAUCCAUGGAUGGAGGAGUCUGUGCUCACAAGAUCCAUGAGAGAGGCUAUGAAAAACAUUUAGAAAUGAGUCUAUUCGGAUCUUCAAUUCACAGAAACAUGCAAAUGCUAGAAUAAAAUCGACAGACACUCAGAUAUAGACCCUACAGUUGUAAUGCAGCAUACCAUAAAUGUGAUUGAGUGAGUGAGGCUGAAACAGCAAAUGGGUCACUUCAAGAUCUCAACAAGACAGAAAACCCAUGUUGAAUUCACCAGGAGAGUAUUGAAAAGGGAAAAAUUAAGGACAUAUAGCUGUAUUGAAAGUUGAAACAAAUGCAGAAACAUAGAGAAGAGAGAGAGAGGGAGAAAACCCAGGAGGGUUGAAUGAGAGCGCUGCUGGGGAAGACAUCAAAACGCUUCAAAUUCAAUGAGAAUCUGUUGGGGACCUCUUUAAGAGGACUGCACAAAGCCUGAGCGUAGGGUACGUGGUUGGUUGGUGAAUUUCUCGGCUUCCAAAAGAGAAAUUUGGUGAGAAAAUUUUCAAGUCUCUUGAUUAUAGUAACGUAGCGUUUAUUUUAAUUUUAUGUAACCGAAACUAAUGGGCUGGUUCAAAAAAAUAAAAAAUAAAAAAAGGAACUUUCUAGGAUAGGCCAGCAGUCCACCGUUGGUCAUGUGGUUUCUUUUGCAUGUCCACAUCUUCCAACUAGUGGAGGUCCCUGUCACAACAGUAAGAAAACACCCAAUUGAAUAAAAGUAUGAACUUUUGGCUCCCAAUAUUACUUAUGCCCUCAUUCAAUACCUCAAAUAAAGCAGAGAUUUUGUGUCCCAACUUUUAUGAUUUCAUUUCAUCUUACUUCAAAUGCUAAUGACAAAAGUCCAAGUAUAUUCUGUAAUCACCCACACCCCAAUAGUUUUGAAUCACACUUGAAAUAGUUCCCAUGCUUUCUUAAUAAUUUAGAUAAUUAUUUACAGAAAAAAAAAUUCAGAACAGGAUGAUAAUCAUUUUGUGAUAGCAUGGAAGAAACUUUACUAGCCACUUUGGCCCCAUGAAGUUGAGUACUUGAUGCCAAUUAAUGGCAGGGUGGAAAAUAGAGAAAAGGGAUCAUAGUCAAAUCUAGAGUACAAGGCAUUGAAUCUUUGUUAAUAAUUAACAAAUGGGUAAAGCAUGGGUCACAGGGUCUACAGUUUGGAUUGCAAAAACCUCAGGCUUCUAUAAAAAGCUCAUCCAUUAUCAAUCAUCAAUCUGAAAGCCAGAAAGUCCAAGGCACAUGCAACCCACGACAGGGGUAAGAUUUCUGCAUCAUGUCCCUGAGUUGCAUUCACAUCAUAUGUUUCCCUCCGGGCCGUUCCAAUUUGAAAUCUCAUGGAAAUCUUCAAGAGCAAGGCUACAGAGUUUAAGAUAAUACUAGGGGUGGGUCCUGAUGGGAAAAGAGGUAGUGUAGGAUAGUCAAUAAAGGGCAUGUGUCUCUGGUGUGAAGUCAAAUCCAGUGUACCAUCCUCAAUGGAAAAUUUAGAAAUAGAACCGACACUCUACAGACUGCCGUGUUGACAGAUUAGAGAAAGACAAACCCACUUACACUUGCCUCAAAACCCAGUCCUGCCAUUUCAAAGGCAAAAAAAAAGGGUUUCUUUUUAUAGUCAAAGGUUGAGGCCUGGCCUGGCCUAGCAAAGAAACUUCACCUACUCUUUUCUUAUUUUUCAAAUUAAGGCCAUUCAACUUUUCCUGUUUGCAGGCUUGCUGCCAUAUCUUACUCCAAAAAAGGUGAAAACCCAAAAGAAAAAGAGUGUUUGCUUCAAUGGAAAACUCAUGUUUAAUAAAUUCACCGCACGAGUUUUGUUCCAGCUUUUCCUAUGAAAGCUGUGAUGCGUUUGGUAUGAAGUUGAUUUUGUUCCUAAAAAUUUUGAUCUUGGCGUGGAAGGCAACUUUUUCCUUUUCCCCCUUUUUCUUUUUGAAAAGUUCGGCAUUAGUUACCAAAUGUCCUUUUACUUGCAUGUAGGACAGCGGAAGCAUUACACAUCGCAGCAAAAUCCCAUUUACCCGAAUUUUCCACUAACUCUUUUUAUUUUUUACCAUCAUUUUUUAAUAGAAGUGAUGCACUCUUCAAAUUACAUGAAGCUUUUAAGAAGGUAAUAACCCGUUUCAAAGCGAACUUAACCUACAGAGUAUGUUUUAAAAAUAUUUAGGUAUUUGAUAAAAUUUAAAAAAUAUUUUUUAAAAUCUUUAAAAUGAUUUGUAAUAUUGAAAAUUUAUUUAUACUUUUUUUAAUAAAAAAACAUUUUAUAGGUAAUUUUUCUAAAAUACUUUUAGAGAAAAUGUCUUCCCUUCACUAUAAAUAUUAUAUACUAUCAAAUACACUUUAAAAAUCUGUUUAACAAUAAUUUUAUAAAGUGUUUUUAAUUUUAAAAAUAUUUUUAAAAACAAAUUAAAUUUUUGAUAAAAUUUAAAAAAUCUUUUUAAAAAUUUUGAAAAAUAUCUCGUAAUAUUAAAAAAUAUAUAUAUUUAUAAUGUUUUUUAUAUAAAUACUCAAAAUUCAUUUAAUAGUGAUUUUAGGAAAUGUUUUUAAUAUUUCUAAUACUUGAAAAUUUUUUAUCAUUUAAGUAUUAAAAAUAUUAAAAACACUUUAUAAAAUCACUUUCAAAUGGACUCUUAAUGAUUUUACUAAAAACACUUUUCAUAGAAAACAUUUAUAAAAAAUAAUUAUGAAAUACACUCUAAAUUAAGUAAAAGUUGUUUUUAACAUUACCACUAUUUAUUAAUAGUGCAUUUGUUUAAAAUAUUUAUAUGAAAAAUUCAUUAGGGUGGGAUAUAAAUAUAGAAGUGUUUUUCUUUAUAUAUUUUUUAUAAUAAAAAAUGAUUUUUGAAAUUAUAAAAUUUGAAUUUAAGAAUCAUUUGAUAAUAAUUUUUGUUAAAGCACCUUUAAUACGUGGUGCUUCUAUUGAUAGCGCUUUCAUUUCUAUGAAUGGCUAUAAAUUAUAUUUGAAUAAAUUUUUUAUAAUGUAUUAUAUAAUAAAAAAAAAGUCAUUUUUAAAAAAAUUAUACAUUAAAUGAUUAUUCAAAUAGUAUUUCCUAAAUUUUAUUAAACAUUUUUUUCAAAAAAAAAAAAAAAGUUUUCAAAUACUAGAAAACGUUUUUAAUCUCUCACACGAUCACAUCCAAACAAGUCCUAAUGCUACUCCUAGAAACACUCCAAAACAAAAGUCUUCCUCUAUUAAUGUUCAUAAAAUCCACAUAUAUUCUUCCAUCGUUUUUUCAAAAUUCAAAAUCAUUUCUAAAACAUCAAAUCAUGUUCUUUGGAUUGGCUGACUUGUUUUUUGAAAAUAGAAGGCUCAUUAUUGACGUCCGUUGACUUCAUAACCCAGUCUUGAUCUCUUGAUGGAGGGCAUAAAUGUAAAUUGGACGAAACCCUAGGGUGCGCUAGAGUGUAGAGGAUGAAAGGUUGGAAAAAGGAUGAGGUGGGGGUGUAAUAAAGAGGAGGGUUGGGAGAAUGGGACAUGUGUAGGUGAAGCAUUAAAUUCAAGACUAUGCUUACCAACAACAUAUAAAUAAAUAAAUAAAUAAAUAUAGGAACAGCACAUGGGGUGAGUAGGAGACAUCAGAAGAUGUGAACAACCCCUUGUCAGUCCAAUUUGCGUCUUUUAUCUACUCUAUUAUCUAUAUCGAUUUUCGUAUUUAUUUAUUUAUUUAUUUAUUUUUACCAUUUGAUUUUGCAUGGAUGUCGAAGGGUUUAUUGGCUGCCACGUGUAGGGUUAUGGUCAAGAUCACGUGGGGUGCCUACAUGGGAGUCACGUGAGUGCAUGAGGCAGGCUUGAAUUGCAGGAGGAGCAGGAGCAGAGCAGUGGCUGUUGUCUUAAGACUUUGCUCUCUUGGUGGAACUGCAGCUUAAGCAGCAUCCACGUGUUGUCACGUGCAAUGCGAGCCAUCCACACCACCAGUUUCUUUUUAGUGAUUUUCUAAAGUCAGUUAAGGUUGCAGUCAAUACCUUCAAAUGUUGACAGAGUUAGGGAUCUUUGUUAAAUGGAUUUUAUUAAGAUAUUAGUAAGUUAAUUAAUUGAGGGUCAACAUAACAGAUGGGUCGGGUUGGGUUGAAUCUGAAUUUAAAACGAUUUAAUUUAUGUUUAAUCAAAUUUAACAUUUAACUCGAAGCACUCAACUUAAGUUUAAUUGAAUCUUAGUUUUCAAAACAUUAUUUAAAUUUGGGUCAUUUGGAUUAAAGUCAAAUGGGUUAGAUUAAUCGGGUUAUAUGGUUCAAAAUCCACUUACCUUAUUUUUUAUACAUUAAUAUUAAAAUUUAAAUAAAAAAUAUUAGAAGAAAUUUCAAACUUGGGAUUAGUUGAUUGUAGCCAUGCAUUUGGAUGUUGGUAUUCUUGUUUCUUGUCUUGUUUCCAAAUACCCUUUCAAAUCGCUUUGUUAUUCAAUAGCAUCCUCCCGAUCAUUUAAAAAUUUAAAGAGCAUUGGUAUGAUGGAGGAAUUCAGAAAUUUUAGUUGAAUAAGUAAAAUUUUUCUCUCAUAAAACCAAAUAGCCUCUAUAGCUCAGUGGUAGAGCGUCAGUCUUGUAAACUGAAGGUCUGUAGUUCGAUCCUGCAUGGAGGCAACUUUUUAUAUUUCAUGAUCCAUUAUGCUCUAGUGAUUUAGUUUUCAUUAUAAUUUUAGAUUAAAAAAUUACAUCAACAUUUGAUAAGUUGGUUAUGACUUUGAUAUAAGGAUGAAACUAUCAAUAAUAUAUAUAAAUAUUUUGACACAAAAUAUCUAAUAUAUUAAAAAAUUAAAAAAAAACUCUAAAAAACAUUAUAAAAUUAUAUAUAUAAUUUAUCAUAUUUAAUAAUAAUAUCUUCUACCCUAAUAAAAAAUAUAAAUUUUAUAAGCAUACAUUUAUUAUUACAUUGUAUUAUAUAUUAUUUUACAAGAAUAUUAUGAUAACAUGUCUAAUUUUAAAAUAUAUUUAAUAUUAAAAUUAUCAUCAAUUUUAAUUUAAAUGUAUUUAAUGAUAUCAAAUAAUAUAUAUAUAUAUAAUUUUUUAAUAUUUAUAUAUUUUUAUAUUUAAUAAAUAUAUAAAUUAUGUAAAAAAAAAAGACCUAUUAAGAAGAUUAUGUUUUUAUAUUUGGAUCAAAAUUAAGUUUUUCCGAUAAAAUAUAUGAAACUAUUGAUAAAUUAUUGAUUGAAACGUGAAAAAAAAAAUUCAAAAAAUAGAUGAGAUAUUAGUAAAAUAUCCGAAAAUAUUGAUUGAUGAAUAUAUCAUUUCAAAUUUUGCAUCAACAUCCACAUAUGUUGGAUAUAUUGGCCAAAUAUAUUUAAACCUUGUUUCCAUGAGAAGUCUUUCCUUCAACAAUUUCAAAAGGUUAAUGAGGUGGUUUCCAAGAGAUGUGUGUAGGGGUCUCCAACGGGCGGGCCGGGCCAGCGGGCUUUUUGAAAUAAGCCAAAAUGGCUUUCAAAAAAGGGAAGGGAGAGGAUUUAAACCCCUUCCUUCAUGCUUAAAUUUCAAGGUUCUAACCAAUUGAACUACAUUCCUUUAAUGUUUAUUAAUUGAGUUAGUUAUAUAUAUAUAUAAAAAUAAAGUAUAUUAUUUUUUAAAGGGGCGGGCCUACGGGCUGGGCCGGGCCGAAAGCGGGCCACGGGCCACGGGCUUUUUGGAGACCCUUGGAUGUGUGCAAUCACAUUUGGUAUUAUAGGUGACAAAGUUUGAUAAAUGAGUAAUUAUUAGGUUAACUUAUAAAAUCCGAAUUUGAUUUAAAUUGAUUCAUUUAAUAAUCCCAUUUAUUUACCCAAUUAAAACUUUAAAUUAUUUAACUUAUAUUUAAUUUAAUUAAAAUUUGUUUUUAAAUAAAUAGAUCAAUUAAAACAUAAACAUAUUUGAUUGAAACAUUAAUAAUAUAGAUUUAAAUAAGACCUAAUUCAACCUAACGAUCAAAUAGAAAUAUCUAAUUAUUAAAUAAAUUAAACAUGUUACUUGCUUAAUAAUUAUGUGACAUUUGAAUUUAUGCUUUUGAUAUAAUUAUUAUUUAUAUCAGGUUUAUAUAAUGAAAUAUCUAGACUUUGACACCAGUCAACAUUGUCCACCAAUACAGAUUGCAACUCUUAUAUGCUACAUCACAUCAUGUUGAAGGAAGAGGAUGACGUUCAUUGGCAGCAGAGCCUCCAAUCAUAAGGAGCUUGAGCAAAUUCAAUCUCAACACUGAAAUUCACUAGAAAAAAAGUUUAUUAUUGAUACUUCAUUUGUGUAAAAGCAUUAUAUUUCUUGCAUCAAUCGUAAAGCAUGACAUUCCAGUAGGUACGGAAGAGAAAAUUUGUUAUGAAUUGAAAAAUCUGUCAAGCUUAAUUUGGAGGGCCCAAAAUUGACACGUUUAAGAGCUCUAUCAUUAGCCCAAUGAUAAGAGUCCAUUUCUUGAGUUUCAAGGAAGGCCCAAGUUUAACUUAGAGGGCCCAAUCUUGGUACCUUCUAAAAGGUGCAAACUUUGGCCCAAUUAUAAAAGCUUAUCCUUGCUUCCUAAGCAUCAAUGAUAUAUUUGAUCGAAGUAUUCACAUAACUAUCACGAAAUGAAAUGAAAUGAAAAUGUAUAAGUAAAUGAUGAUUUUGAGUUAUUUACUGACAAUAAAGAAUUAGGUGGUGUUUGUUUUUUUUUUUUUGGCUUUUUACUAAAAGCAAUUUGUUUUCAGAAUUUAGGUUAUUUAUUUUUCUAUUUUUUCAUGACUUAUUAUAAACUUUUUACUAAAUAAGAAAAUCCAAAAUAUAUAGUUUUUUCUAAAUAGAAAAAAUAACAUAUUGGUUUUCUUUUUUUUUUACUUUUUAAUAUUUAAUAGAAAUAAAAUAUUAUAAAAACAAACAACCUAAUAUUUAACACUAUUAAGUAUUAAGGUUUUAUUUAGAAUUAAGUAAAAAAACAAACACUACCUUAAAAUGAAAAGUAUGUAUAAUGACCUUAUACAAAAAAAGUCUCAUUAUUUUCUUCCAAAGAACUCAUACUUUUGUUUUUCAACUAUUACUUUGUUUUUAUUUUUUAAAUAAUAUUUCAAGUUUUUUUUAAUAAUACCUUUCUCUUUAUUAGAUAAUUUUAAUGACUUUAAAAGUAUUUUAAUAUAUUAAUUUAUUAUAUAAUUUUAAUGAUUUAAAAAUAUUUAAAUGUUGAAAUAUUUAUUUUCAAGUCUAAUUUUAAUUAUUUAUUUUUUGAAGUAUUUAAAUAUAUAAUAAAUGUGGGAUUAUGUAAAUCUAGUUGUAAUUAUUUAUUUCAUUCUAUUCAUGUUUUUAGUUGAAUUUGCUCAAAAUUUACACCUCUUUAUUUAAAGAUCAUGGAUUAGUUAGGUGUCUUGAGAUUUUUUUUCUCUCAAGACACUACUUGUUACACUAGAAAAUAAUUUGUGGCUAUAUUUUUUAGGCAAAAAGAAUUAUAUGUUAAAACUUCCUUUAUUGACUAGUUUAUCAUAGGGUGUAGAGGAAAGUUUGUGAUGUCUUUUUAUGUCAACUUUGGGAGAAAAAUAUCACUUUAGCAUUUUCCUUAGAAAAUUUUCAUACAUAAUUGAUUUUGGAACUAUGGAGGAGCAUAAGUAGGGAUAGAUAAUUCGAUUUUGGAAAAAUUAUAAUAGCUUUUCAACUUGGUGUUAAUGAUAUAUUGUUUAUUUCUUAUUUUUUUUCCAUUUUAAUAUAUAAUUGGGGAUUUUAAACUUGUAGAACAAGGCUUUUUCAAUUGAAUUGACACGUACAUAUGAAAGUUCUCUUUGGUUGCUAAUCACAUUUUUUUUUCUUUUGCUUUUUGUUUUUAUCAUAAUGAAUAUUGAACUCGAAAUUCAGUUUUUAAAAUCUUAUGAUGUUUUAAAGUUUAUAAAUAUUAUUGAUUUUUAUAAAUGAUGUUAUUCAUAUCUUGGUAAAGACAAUAUUUUCAUAUCGGUCAAGAUGAUUAAUAACAUAUAAGUUCAUAAAGAAAAACCUAUUGAUUAAUGGAUAUUUAAUGAUUUUUAUUAGGAAUGUUUUUUAAUUAGUUUCAAUACUCAUCUUUUAGAGCAUACAUAUAGGGUUUUAGAUGCUACAUUGGUUUUCAGCUUGUGAUUUAAAUUAUUGAAGCAAAAAAUGAGGGUUUUGCUUUAUGGAACUAUCUAAAGGGAGGUGAAUUAGGCGGUCUUCCUUUUUAAAAUCCAAAAAUUAGAUUUUUAAUACUUAUAUUAGUUAUACAUGUGUUCAAUAAUUAAAACAAAGAACAAGUCCAUAAUUUACAUGUGAUGUGCAUGGAAAAACACCUACAAAUUCUCUCAAAUACUUUACAAAUGAAAAAAAAAUCAAGGAUCGAUCAAUCACAGAGCAACUUCACUAAAUAUGAAAACAUGACUAUACAAUUUUACUUGGAUGAGGUGCUACCUUCUCUUAAGGGUUUUUACACUAGCCAACAAUUACACUCACCUUCACUCUCACCAUGCACCUCUAUUGUGCUCCAUAGUAAACACUUUAAUGACUGUAGCAAGAUUGCGAUAAAUUACUGCGAUUAAUUUGAGAGUGUUGAUAAUGAACAAAAAAUAAUGAUAAUUAACUAGAGAGCAUAUGAUUUUGUAAAAACACCAAAAAGAGGCAUAGUUAUAAGUGAAAACUUUAAUGGAUUGGAUUGAAUAUAUAAUUGAAGUAUGAAUGAAAAAUUACCAAAACAAUGUUCAAAACCGUGCUAAUCAAAGCACAAUCACUUGAGUACUCUCAUGGGGCACUUGAAUGCUCCUUUUAAUCACCGUAAUGCUGAAAUUAAUAAUUUGUCUCAAAUUGUUUUUCCAAAACAUAAAGCAAAAUAUUAUAAAUUUAUAUAAUCAAACCCAAUUUCAUCUUAAAGCUAGCCUACUUAGUCUUAAUUCAUGUCCAAAAAUACUCAUACUUGUCAAAGAAUGAAUAUGGUAUAAACAAAUUCUUUAUUUUCAAUUAUAUUCAAUUAUUGAAAGAAUAAAUCGGUUUACAUACAUUUUGAACAAAGGUAUAUACACAUAGACUAAAUCAAGGAAAUGAGGAAAUCAAUCACAAUCAAAUCAAAAUCAAAUGAUAGGUUGAUAUCUAGGAGAAGGUUAAGUUAGAACCAACUCAUGUAUUCAAUAUUCCCCCUUAAGAUGGCAUAUGGAGAUCAUGAAUAUCAAACCUAGAAAGUAAGGGAUAUGAAAUAUCUAUACCAAGGGAUUUUAUGAAAUAUCAACCAAUUGUUGUUGUGAUUAAACAAAUUGAAUAAGAAUAAUUUCAUUUCGAAUCUUUUCAUAGAUCAAGUGACAAUCAAUUUCAACGUGUUUAUUCUGUUCAUGGAAAAUUAGAUUAAUAGCAAUGUAUAGAGUUGUAUUAUUGUCACAAUAUAGAUGCAUUGACCAAGGAUGAUGAACUCCAAAAUCUAUAAGUAAAUAUUGCAACCAAUGCAAGUAGUAAUCAUUAAAUAAUAUUUCACUUUUCUUCAUGAGUGUUAUAUCAUUGAUUGCUUUUUAGAUCUUCAAGAGAUUGAUAGGCCACCAAGUAAAAUACAAUACCCUAUAAUUGAACAUCAAGAUUAUGCACAAUAGGCAUGGAGGAAGGCAAAAGAAUUCCUUGACCUAGACGAUUUUUUAAAUAGUAUAACACUCAUGUACUUGUGAGAUAAUUGAGACUACAUUGGCUUGUCAAGAAUUUGAACAUAAUUAGCAAUAUUAAGCCCUAUCAUUAUGAGUCAAAGUAACUUCCCAAUCAAAUGCCUAUAAUAAGAAGCAUCCAACAAAGGUUCUCUAUCUAAUUUACUCAAUUCCAAAUUUUGUUUCCUAGGAGUUUUUAAAGUUACAUGUUCCAAGAAAACCAAAAUCUUUUAGUACUUCUAGAGCAUGUUUUCAAUAACUUAAAUAAAUCUCAUUCUUAAAAUAUGUCAUUUCAAUGAUGAUGAAGUACUUUAAUUUUCCAAUCUCUUAGUUAGUUUGAAAAUGCUAUAUAGGUUUUCCUUGACCACCUUAAUUCCUUUAAGAUCAUUCAUUGUAAUAAUUAUAUCAUAAAUGUAAACAAGAAUGAUUGUGAAAUAGUUAUUUGAGGCUUGAGCAAAUAAGAAGUAAUAUGUACGUCUUGGCUUGCUUGUAAACCAUAAACAUCAAUGUGAUAGAUAAUUUGGCAAACCAUCAACGUGAAGCUUGCUCAAGGCCAUAAAGGGAUUUUUUAACUUUGCAAAUCAUAUUUUUGGUUCUAGAUUUCCUACAAACUUGGUGGAAGCUGCAUGUAUACCUCUUUAUCUAAGUCUUCAUAAAGAAAAACAUCGUUGAUGUCAAGUUGGUGAAGAUGUCAAAUUCUAAUUAUACAAUAAUUAGGGGUGACAAUGUGUCUUAUCGUGUUGAGGUGAGAAAUAGUGAAAAUUUACUUAAUCCGACUAUGACCCGUUUGAUAAUCGUGUCAAAAUAACCUAACAUGAAUACAAUUAGUUUAUUUCAUGUAACAUGACCCUUUUAACAUGUUUAAUAAAUAUAUUAACUUGGAUUAUGUAUUAAUUGACAUGAAUAACUCAUUAACUUGAUUUCAACCCCUUAAACUCAUUAACACAAUUCCAACCCAAUAAACUCGUUAAUAUGAUUUAACUCAUUAAACUUGUUAAUAGGAUUAUAACCUCUUUAACCUAUUUAAAAUUUUAAAUUUAUAAAUAAUAAAAUACUUCUAGAAAGUUUAAUUUUUAAAAUUUGAACUAUAAUACAUGUAUGCACCAAUUUCAUGAAGUCCUGAAAAAUUAGCAAAAUUAUAGAAAAAUAAUAUAAACAAAAAUUUGUAUUAAAAUUAAUAAGUAUGGGCUACAAUAUUAGUCAUAGUACUGCUUAUUUCUGAAUGACUUUAUUAAAAAGCGAAGAAUACAUGUGUAGUUCUUAUGUGAUUUCUUAAACUUGUAAGGCGAUUUUAUAAAGUUUUUUUUUUCUUUGUGAAACCUCUUUUUCUAUGUGAAAUUGUUUUGCCGAUUUGAAAUCUUCAUUAAAGGAAGUUACUAUUAUUUAUAAUUGAAAUUAGAGAAUGAAAUGUGGAAUCCCCAUGAUUUAGUUGCUUAAUUCAAGGAAUUUGAUUAAUUGAUUUUGGUAACUUGUCUCAUAAAAUUUUCUAACAAGAAUAUUUAUUUUUAAUCUCUUUUAUUUCAAUUGGAAUAUUUGUUUCCUUUGUAAAUUUGUCAAUAGAAUAUUUAUUUAUUUAUUUAAUUCUCUUUUGACUACAAUGAGAAGAUUUGAUUUUGUUUGUAAGACUAAAUUUUAUAACCUUUCAAAUUUGGCCAAGUGACACCUUUUGAAUAUAUGUCACAUGUCAAAUGUGUGUGACUCAUUAGUUGUUGAACCUAAAUUUUCUUGAAUUAGAAAGCUAUACUUUUGAAGACUAAUUUAGUGAUAAUUUAAUUCAUUAAAUUUUUUUGGUGUCUACAGUAUAUUUAUAAUAUGAAAAGUAAAUUAAAAUUUUAAUUUUUUUACUUGUUUAUUAUUUUAUUUAUUAUUUAAUGAUAAAUAUUUUUAUUCUUUAUUGAAAUAUAUAAAAUUUUAAUUAAUAUUUUAAUUUUUUUAAUUUCUAUAUAUAAAAUAUAUAGAUUUAUAUGGUCUAAUUGAGUCAUUAAAAUAAAUAGGGUAAAUAACUCACACAUAAGUGAUGGAUCAUUCUAACAUGAUUAAAUUAACAAGUUAGAUGAAUUGAGUAGUCAAAUACAAACAUGAUUUGUUUAUUAAAUAAGUUAUAUGAAUUGAUACGAUUAUGACAUCAACUCAAUUAAACUUAACUCAAAUAAGCUUUGUCUUUUAUUUUAAGUUGUCUAGUUGUUCACACAAAUUUUCUCAAAAUAAAGAAAUUAUAUAUAAAAUUGUAAAUUUGAUUAUUUGAGGGGACCAUUUUCAAUACUCUUUUUUAAGUAAUCUGGUGUUUAAUUUUGAAUCAAAGGGGCUUUCAUUAACAAAUAAUAGACUGUAGUUUUCAUAUAAGAAGAAAUCUCAAGCCUUUUUUUCUUGAAGGAAUCUUUAAAUUUUCUUUGAUACUUUAAAAAAUCAAUCUUCUUUGAUUUUUUAAGAAAUCUUUGAAUUUUCUUAAAGUCUUCAAAAAAAAAAAAAAAAAAAAAACUGAGUUUAAGGAAUUUUUUUAAUAACUCUCCAAAUUUCUUUGAUAUUCCAAAGUGUCCUUUAGAAGGGGACAAAUCCUCUAUUUACAGGAUUGAGAGUUUUAUUUUAAUAUUAUCUCUUAAUUUUUAAGAAAUAACUCUCUUAUUUAUGAUAAUUACUAUUUAUUUUAUUUAUCAUAAUUAGUUGCCUAUGAUAAUUAUCAUAAUUAAUUUUUCUAGAGAUAAAUAAUUAUAUAUAUUUAAUUAAUCAUGAUAACUAUAAUAUUUAUUUAAUUUUUUAUUAAAUUAUUUUACAUAACAUAUCAAUAUAUAUUAUUAGUCAAUUAUUAACACCGAAAAUUAAUGAGUUGGCAUAAAAUUUAUCUCUCUAUAAUAGUAUCAAAGCGAGCCUUAAUAAUAACAUUGCUUAUAGUCAAUUUCACAUGCCAACUUUUUACUGGGCAUUGGCGAUUUCAAUUUUGAUAGUCCGGUUAGAAAAAGUAGGUAAAGAUUAUUUGAUGUGGUAGGUCAUUUCUUUCAUAAAGACGAUGGCGGUGAAUUCAUGAGACAGGUGAUAAAGGAGAGAUUCUUUCUUUUGGCUUUGGAAUUUUAAUGAGGUCCUCGAUCCUCAUCCAAAAUACACCUCUCCAAUUAUAAAAAUCUUAUUAAAAAAAAAAAGAUUUGACAUGUGCCUUUCGAACUGCUGGUUUUCUGUUCCAAAAAUGAGAAUGGUUUCAAGUGGAUGAAGGAAGGUGAAGAACCCUUGGUUUUGUUAAGCGAAAAGCCACAUGAUUAAAUAAACAUAAGGCGGCAAAGGCUGAAAAUUUAAAAUUAUACUAAGGAACCCACCCCACAGGGCGACUACACUUUUGGUGAAGCCACGAGAAUGAAAGAUAUCGAAGGUGACACCAAGACAUUAAGCAGCACCAAGGUUUCGAUAUAUUAUAAGAUGGGAUCUUAUGAAAGACGAUCUCUAAUCUCUCUCCAAUCUCUUCUUUAACCUUUUCUUACUUAAAUCCAUUUCCAUGGUAGGGCACAUGUCCAGCUGACCCUACCCCCUCACCUACCUAUACUGCUAUACCCUUUUGUAUAAUUUGAUAUGGAUUGGAAGCCACCCCAACAUCUUUCUAAUUGCUCGUAAAUGUUGAGGUGCCUUUCCAUUUUGAGGCUGCCCUAAUGUGUGGCUGAAGUACGUAGGAAAAAAAAAUUGUGAUACAUGCACUGACGAAUCAAAUCCCAAUGUCAAAUUAUUAGACUCACCUGGUUCUUAAAUUAUUGUGAAUGCCGCUGGCCAUGGAUAAAUGGAAUUAGUGCGUGGCUUAAUGAAAAUUUAUUUUGAAAGGGAUAUUAAUUUGAGAGAAUUUUGGCUGAUACUUGGAGUUGAACGUAAGCAUAUAUGACCUCAUUUCGGGUGUGAUAUUGUGCUUAUAACGAACCUUUCGUUCUUUCCAAUUCCAGUGGGUAUUAAAUAAUUAAAGAAUUCAUGGUUCGAAGGCGAAAGGUAGAAGACCAAAAAGGGAUUACAAAGCCAUCGGCUUGACCAUCCAGAUGCAAUGGAUACAAACUUUGGACUCUAUCGAAAGUUCUUUGGGCACGUGCCCAAGUGUCCUACCCAUAUGAUAAGUUACACGUGGCUAAUUGCGGACCGGUUGCUCGUGCUAAACAGGGUACUUUUUCUACGCAUAUAAGAUGUUUCACUAGUGGGGCUUCACCAUGCAAACUCAUGGAUGAAGACCCUGAGGCCAAGAUGAAGGAACAGAAAGAAGGCGGAGGAGAGGUUCGGUAUCGAGGCGUUCGGAGGCGGCCAUGGGGGAAGUUUGCUGCGGAGAUACGUGACUCGACUAGGCAUGGAGCGCGCGUCUGGCUCGGGACUUUCAAUUCUGCGGAGGAGGCUGCAAGAGCAUAUGACCGAGCUGCUUAUGCCAUGAGGGGUUCCUUGGCGAUUCUCAACUUCCCUAAUGAGUAUCAUACACCCGGCACGGCUAGCUCUUCAGCUUCAUCCUCAAUGCCCGAAGGUGAUCAGCAGGGAAAACAAGUCAUUGAAUUGGAGUACUUGGAUGAUAAGCUGCUAGAGGAUCUUCUCGACUCUGAAGACAAAAAGAACAAGAAAACCUGAAGUUUCUGCUGCCUCGAAUCCCCUGAAAUCUAGUGCUUCAUCGAAAAAAAAUCCCCUCGCUCCUGAUUAACAACAUUUUUAUUUUAGUCAAUGAAUGUGUUCUCGGAUCAUUAUAAGUAUUUCUGCCGAAGUCCAUUGAUUUUUGGAGACUGAAAAAUGUCAGAAAAAUUGGUGCGAACAGGUUUACUCCUUUCUAAAUUAUGCAAUUGAAGUAUUUGGAUUAGUGCGCAGUGUAAACAUCAAGGAAAGCAUGAUCCACUAUUUUAAGGAGCCUAAGUGCUUUCCCCUUUACUCUUUUAGGAUGUCUUUUCAGUGAAGAAAGUUGGGAGACCACCACUUACCCUUUUGAUUGGUAUAUAACUGCCAACUAAUAACUGGACUAACAUUUGGCCCGUCUGGCCCUACUUCUUUGACUUUGUUGUUAAUUUAUAACUUUAUGUGAAGUGGGGGCUGUUUGGGAAUGUGUGAAGCAAGGAUUUGAGCCGACUUCGCCUAAUCUGAUUCUCCAUAAGUGACUUCAUUUUAUCAUAUUGGUGUUUUUUUUCUUCUUCUUUUUAAAUGGCUGGGGAGGAGGGGAUUUGGGAGGGAUGCAAUGCCAUGGUUGCAUGCUGGAUUAUCCUUCCAAAUGAAACAUCCAUUUGGUUUCUAGUAACUAAUUGCAAACAAUUAAAGAGAAUAAAAUUUUAAGAUGAUUAAACAAUAAGUACCUAUGUCCAUGAAAAGGAGAGAAGUUCACUCAUGGGUGUUCAUGAAAGACAUCACAAAGAACCAUCAAUAUGAGAAGAAUCCUGAUACAAUUAACUUUCAUGCAUAAGAAAAGACGCUCAAAAAAGAAUAAUGCUUACAAGGAAAGAAUCUCACUACGAUCAACUGAAAAAAUAUUCCAAUUUAAUUGGAAAUCCUUACAUGGGAAGAAUAUCAAUAAAAUCAACUAAAAAAAUAUUUUAAUUUUAUAUCAAAAUAUUUGUGAUUUAACCCGUAUCAUUUCAUCAUGACUUCUUAUAAAUUUUGUUCCUUUUUAUCAACACCACCCCUUGAGUUGGAGCAUAAAUAUUUAUUAAGCUAACUUGAACAAGAUCUUGAGAAAUUUUGUCGCAGGAUUUGUUUGCACUUUUUUUUUUCAAAUAAAGUCAUAAUUAACUUUAAUAUGUUUAAUCAUUUCAUGAAAUACUAGAUUUUAAGCAAUGUUGAUAGCAUACUUAUGCCUGAAAGCUUUAUCCCAAAUCACAUGAGUACAUGAAGUGAUUGCAUCAUUAAUGGUAGUAUUAUUACUUUAUAUUCAACUUCUCCACUUGAUAGGAUGCAUGAAAGCAUUGUGCUUUCUUCUGUUUCAAGUAAUAAAGAUUAUCACCAAGAAAGGUGCAAUUAAUACCUAGUAACAGAGUACCUAGUGGUAGCAUGCACCUAUCCACUGAACUUGUACUCGACUCUAUGAGUGUACGUUACAUAGUCCUUUUUUCGAAGUCUAAAUGUCCCUUGAUAAAACCUUCUAAUAUUUGAGGUUUUGGUAACAUUCAUGUAUCAAUGAACAAAUUAAUUUACUAGCUAAACUUUAAAAUUAGGCAAUGUUUUUCAAUGGGUGAUCAAGAUCUUGGAAUUUUCAAUGUUGUUUGAAUAGCUUCCACACACAAGCAUAUUUUCUCCUAUUUAGGAAUAAUCCCUUUUUUGAAGGUGUGAUCUUUAUGCUCAAAAAAUAAAGAUACUCAAAAAUUUAAUAUUGACCUUCUCGUGAAGGAAAAGCUUUAUAACUAAUUUUUUUUGUGCAUUAUAUAUAUCCUCAAUAUAGACUUUAAAAAAAAAAGAAGUAACUCCCUCUACAAAGAGUGAAGAGUCAAUUAAACUUUUUUUUUUUUAAAAAAAAGGAACCAAUUACUCGUAAAAGUAAUGAUUAUUUUUACAUACCAAACUUGAGGAGAUUACUUAAGAUCACAAAAGUUUUUAUUAAAUUGCAAGCUAGAUGCAUUUGAAACGAUCGUUGAUGUCUUAGCAACACCUUAUGUAACUCAUCAAUCUUUAUGUAAAAAUGCAUUUUUAACACCCAUAUAAAAUAAUGAUCAAUCCUAAUUUAAUAGAAACAAAUGGUAAUACAUGAAUAUCAUUCAUAUUAAUGAGAAAAGUAAAUAUUGAUUUAUAAUCAACUUCUUAAGUUUGUGUCAAUGCCUUAAUCAUUAGUUUAACUUUGUCAUUCAAUGAUACCAUCAUUACGACAUUUAAUUAACUUAGAUUUGCGUAAAUCCCUUAAUCACUAGUCUAGCUUUAUGUCAUUCAAUGGUACCAUCAUUAUGGUAUUUAAUUGAUCUUAUACCCCCAAUUUGUAUACCCCAUGUUUUUCUUAAUUUACCAUACAUCACUUAACAAUGUUCCAUGCAUGGAUUUUGUUAAGUGCCUUAAGUUCCUUUUGCAUAGCCUUUCUCCAAAUUGGAUGAGGAUUGGCUUCAUUAAUGUCAUUAGACUCAUGAUAUAUGGAACUCAAACAAUUGUUAAGUGAUUUUGUAUAUAUAUAAAAAAAAAAUUGUAAUUAAUGUGGUAGGCAUAAAAAUCUCACAAAUGAGGAUUGAUUAAUUGUUAUAAUUGAGCAACAUGCUUGAGGCUUAGUCACAAUACUAGAACUUGAAGUCAGACAUUCUCUUCAAAUAAGGACGUAUAUACAUUAUAUUGGAUCUCCAUUAAACAAGUAAAGAACUAUUUAGUAGACAAUGAAACCUCAUUGAUCAAUGGUGGUAGAGAGACACAUGAUGACCAGACUAUUCCCCUGGAAAUGAGAAUAAAAAAUAUCAUUAGCCGCAAAAAUCUCAAAAAAAUUUAGAUAAUGGGAUAUAAAGAGUUUAUGAAUUUUACAAUCAUAACUCUUAUACUGGUUUAAGUGGUAGAGUAAUCAAGAACACAAAACGAGUUUGAUGAGUGGUUGAGAUAUGAACAAAGCAAAGAUUUCCAAAGACACCAAAAUCAGAAAUCUCAAUUUUUGGGCUAAGGAUUUCAAGAAGAAAUUUAAAAUUAACUACAUGACUAGAAAAUUUGUUCAUCAAGGAAAUAGAAGUAACGAUAUCAUAACAUCAUAAUUAAUCAAUAUUUUUAAUAACAUGCAUUUGGAACAUGAUAUACCGGCUUUCUAAUAAUCAAUGAUUUUUGGUUCAACCACACCAUUUUGUUUUGGGAUGCCAAUACAACAAGUUUAACGAANNNNNNNNNNNNNNNNNNNNNNNNNNNNNNNNNNNNNNNNNNNNNNNNNNNNNNNNNNNNNNNNNNNNNNNNNNNNNNNNNNNNNNNNNNNNNNNNNNNNAUGUAAGUGCCAAAUUAGGUAGUGUCGACAAUGAAAUGGAAAUUUUGGAAUAUAGAAACAACCUCAUUUUUAUGUUCUAAUAAGUAAACCUAUGUAGCAUAAGAAUAGUCAUUAAAAAAAAAGGUAACAAAAUGUUGAUUUCCAUCCUAUGGAUCAAUUAGGACACAACCCCAAGGUAAACUAAUUUGAAAGUUGCAACAAAAAUGGAAAGAGAUGAAAAAAUAAUAGAGGAAUUUAAGGUUGUUUCAAAAUUUCAAGACAUGCUAAGAAACACAUGAGAUUAUAGAUGAUUAGGUAACAACCUUGGUUAAGUAUAUUCAACAUAUAUAUCCCACGAGGAUAAAUAUCUUCACUAAACUUUUCCUAUUAUUCAAUCCCCUAAUACCAUACAAGUGAAAAAUUAAUGUCACGGUCAAAAAUUUUAAUAAGCUUCCAAAGAGAUAAUAAUUUUGGGGAAAAAAACAACCUAAGAAACCUAUGAAUUGAGAUAAUUUAGGAAAAAACUAAAUGUUCGUUAGCUCUAGAAGGGAAUUGAAGCUCAUCAUCAAUAAAGAUUGUUGCUAUCUCGAAUAAUAUCAAGUAAACCAUUAAGAUCGCUAUUAAUGGUAUGAUUAGCAGCACCAAUUAUCGACAAAAAAAUUAUUAAAAAUAUAAGAAAUGAGAGCUUUAAGAUUAUCUAAUUGAUUUGUAAACCUAGGUAAGUGAAUCAGUAUUACGUUUUGUUAAGGAAGCUUAGAUCCAAUUGGUAUCAUUCACCAAGUUAUUGGAUUAAAUUACACUAUCAAACUUUGGCUUUAAAUGAGAAUGAAGAAUCUAACCACAAUCCUUAUUGGGAUUAGAUAUGUUAUUGCAAUAAUGUUUACAAUCGGAUGAGUGCUAAUUUCUAUUGAAAUCAUGAAGCAAUCUCUGAUCAUUGGUCUUCUUUGUAGAAACAUGAGCAUUGAAUUUAAAAUUAAUAAUUGUUACUUGGGAUUCAACCUUCAUAAUCAUUGCCUGGGUUUCCUAAUCACUUUCAAGAAUUACUUAUAUAGUGAAGGCACUCGAAACUAAUCAAAUUUGUCCUCUUAUAAAGUUGUCAUAUUCAAGCUUCAGAAUAGCCAAUAAUUGAAAAACUUAUCAUACUCCGCAAUUUGUUGAAGAAUAUUUGGGUCUAUUGAAGGGGACAAUAUAGGGAAUAUUUGUCCCAUAUGCUCAAAAUGUUCAAUUAACAAAGUGUUCUGUAUGUUUAGGGAUUUGUUAGCUUUAAUUACACAAAACAUUAGCAGUUUUAGAGAAAAUUAAUUUUUUUUUGCAAUCUUAGGUUCCAUGAAAUUAAAAAGCCAAUAACAAGUCAAUAUGGCUUGAGACCCAGUCAUCAUAUUCAAAGUCAUCCAACUUAGAAGCAUUCAUUUUGCCACUAACAUGUGCUAAUUUCCAUUUUCUAUCUUUCAAGAGAAAAAGACUGCUCUUAACCAUGGCAAAUAAUUGAACCCAUUAAGAAGAUUGAGGAAAGUAUCAUAUGAGGGUUGUCAUUUUCCUCCAUGACAAAGAAAAAGCAACAGAGAAAAACUCAUAAUAUUAGAAAGAGAAUGAAAGAAAUUGAGUCAUAGAUACACACAGAAGAAUCCAAAAAUAAAGCAAUAAUACAACCACAAAUAUGAGAAGAAGCUCAAUUACAAAGAAAGGAACUCAAUACAAUCAACUAAAAAGCGUUCCGAAGUUCAUACGAAAAUAUUCAUAAUGUGAAGAUCAUUUCAUGAUUCCUACAAUUUCUUCCUUCUACCAGUCCACUCCAUACAAGGUUUGAUCAACAACUUCUUCAUUGAUUUUCUGGUCUCUCUCCGGUGUAUCAUAGAGCAUUUUUGACAUGUUUCUGCAAGAUACACUUGUUAACUUUAAGCGACAUAAGUGCAAAAAAAUAAGAUCAUGUUGUAUUGCCUGUGCUUCCACUCUGCCUUGUUUAGUACUAUUAUGGAGCAGUACUUCCAUAUAGAACCAGUGAUCUCCAGUUCAUUAUGUUGCCUUCUUUAAACUAACUUUAAUUAUCUAUACAUAUAAAACAAAGUGGUCCCAUCAAGGGGCUAAAUCAAGAAUCAAGUGGGGCGAACAGGAAACAGUGGCAUCAAUUUUUAAGUCCAUAAGCUUUAAUAAAAGGAAUAAAACCAAGGAUAUGAAUAUGUUAUUUUUUCAUUUGUUCAUGCACUGGAAGAUCUUUCCUCUUCAAGCAUUGAACCAGCAUCCUUCUGUGCAAGUUGCUGUCGGAACCUUCUAUAAUUGUCAGAAGUCUGUUUCUGAAAUAUACAGAUAAAACUUUUAGCAAGUCUUGACAUUGCUCAUCACUAGGACAUUGUACUAGGAUACCAAUUCAUCUAAUUAGGGUUAAGUUGGCAUCUCGUACACUAUUUUUUAUUUUUCCUUCAUCUUUUGUUCCCAUUUGCAGUGGAAGUGGCACUUAGAAUAUCUGAUCAUGAAGAAUUAGCUUUCGGUGAGAUGAUACUAGGUCAAUUGCCAUUAUCUUUUUGAGUUACUGUGCGAGCAAUCUUGAAAAUAUUUUGGGAUAAAUAGAAUUUGUGCUUAUCAUAAACAUGCUAAACAUCCAAAUCAAGUGCUUUUACUAUUGAUAUCAAAUCAGUAAUUGAUUUUAACCUUUAUGCUUAUCUUUCAGAUUCUCAAUUAUGUAUCUUGAAUAAUGAUAUUAAGCAGAAAUCAUGAAUUGAAUUGCUUUAAUUAACUGUGCCUUAUCAAGCUUGUCAGCAGUGCUAUUGCUACCGCGAAUCAAAUUCGCUGUGCUUCCCGCCUUCUCCAAAUAAGCCACAAGCCCAAUUAUAUCCGCCCUCCUCCCAUCUCCAAGGGAUCAAAAAAUAAAAUGACUUCAAUCAAUUUUCAAGUUUUCCAUCUUGAUCAGUAGACCACCCGGCAUGAAUGUUACCCUCAGUUUAGGAAUAGGAAUUCCUUUUACUAAUCAUUUGGCACUAAAAACUAUGACCCCUAGCAAUUCAUUCCCUCCAUUAGAUAUCUGGGGGCAUCUUGGCUCAGCCAAAAAUGAUAAGUCAUUGCAUUUCACAUUGCAUUCAUUUGUAUUAAUGAGCUAAUUUUUUUUCACAGAAUGUGAUGUGAAUCGAAUUACUUCCAACCAUGUGUCUCUAUAAGGGUUUAACAAAUGUAAUUUGCAUUGUCUGUACACUUUUUUUUCGGUUUCUUUUCUUUUUUAUGCAUGAUUCAUUAGUCCACGGAUCUUCUAUGCAAAGUGUGCAGGCCAAACACCUCCUUCAAUGCAUUAUUCUAGAAGUUAAGACUCAGUUUACUCCUUAAUUGAUCUGUUCCAUUUACUUCAAAUCAUUUGAUUACAUUAAAUGAAUCUUGAAAUUCAAAAAUGCAUCAAAGUUAAAAGACCUUCCAAUGCAUUAAGAAAUCAUCUGAUACAAAUAUAUGUGAACCUGCAACAACAAUAAUGUCAAAAUGGAAAACUUAGGUAGAAAAUAUUAGAACGGAAACUUACGACGAACUCAAUUUUUGGCGCCUUUCUUCUUCUCAUCUUCUGAUCCAAGAAGCUCUUCCAACACCGUGUCAUCCAAACACUCGAACUCAAUGACUUGCUUUUCUUGCCCAGAAGAGGAACCUCCCAUCUCUAAACUCCUACAAGGCCCAGAAGAUGACGAGGAAGACGAUGAGGAUGGUGAUGGUGGGGGGCGAUGGGAGCCCAUGAUUUCAGAAUAGUACUCAUUAGGAAAGUUAAGAAUGGCAAGAUGACCCCUUAAGUUAAAGGCCGCUCGAUCAUAGGCGCGAGCUGCAUCCUCCGCCCUGUCAAAUGUGCCUAGCCAUAGACGAGCACCUUGCCUAGACGGAUCCCUAAUCUCGGCUGCAAACUUCCCCCAUGGCCUCCUCCUCACCCCUCGGUAUCGAACUUCUUCCUUUUCCUUCCCUUCCUGCUCCUGCUUCUCAUUCCCUUUCGAAUGAUCUUCCAUGCUAAACGUGUCGAUUUGCUAGGCGCAAUUUUUUUGGUUUCAAAUGUGCUGGUUUACGAGAGGCAUGGAUGCUUAUGUAUAUAUAUGGUUGCCACAGUCAGGUCUGACGUCACCGCUCAAUGUAUGUUCCACAGCGUGGGUUGACGAGCUUUCUGAGGGGGUUUCCUCGAAUUCAAAGCAAGUAUAAAAAUUCGAUUCUCCGACCUUUCCAAUGAGGAUCGAACAGGCCUUUUAUUAGAACCGUAUGAUAACUCCACACUGUUUUCAAAUAGUCAAUGUGAUCUAGAUUCUUCGUUAAUUUUUUCCACCUGACUGAUUGUUUACAAUUUUAUUUUUCACCGUCCCAAAUUUAAACCAUUUACGCGAUUCCCUGGAUUGCAUUUUUCUUUAAUGUUGACUUUACGAGGCAAUAGGACCCCCCAGCAACCCCACUAGGGCGACUUCAUGGGAACCAGAUUACUUUUGGAUCCAGAUAUGGUCCAGAAGAAAUAAGACAAAUCAAUUAAUGUCCACUAAAGUUUUGAUGGAACCCUUAGUCCGUGUUUCCUGUGGAUGUAUGUAUUGUAUGCACCUCAAUUUUCACCAAUCCCUGCUACGAGUCCCUUUAAUUUUGACGUUAUAAAUGUUUUUCCUGACAUUAGCAGAGUGUUUUUCUGCCGUCUUUGAGGACCUUCCACGGCCCAUAAACUAAUAAGGAUCGUCCAGUGAAUUUAGUCUUCCCCAGUUAAUUAUCCUGCGAGGGAAACUUGGGCAGUAAGUUGCCUACAUGAGUGGCUCCCGCCUACAUGAGUCAAGGGACCAUACGUCAGGACGACAACCAGUGUGGUCACACCAAAGUGGGUUGCCUGGACUCCAGGGUGGUCGCUUCAAAGUUGUCAAAUGAAGGCUAGCUUGGCAAGUUUUGGAAAACAAUUAUUGAAAAACAUUUUUCAUGAAUAACAGUUUCUAUGAACAGAUUUUAAGAAAGUUUAUUUUGUGAUUUUUAGGAAUAUUUUUAAUUUAAAUUUUUAUAUUUUUAAUUUUUUAUUAAUUUAUUGAUUAUUUAAUAUUAGCUUAAUUAAUGGAUUUUUCUUGGUCCCAAAUUAUUAAUUUAUCAAGAUUUAAUCGCAUCCAUAAUUAGUCUAAUUUCUUUUGGAGUGAGUGUGACAAAGUGCAAAUUUCUAGAGUUUUAUUAAUGUUAUUCAAUGUCAUAAUUUAACUAAUUAUAUUAAUUAUUUAUUAAUCAAAAUAAAUCAUUCACUUGAAAUAUGAUAAUUUAAAUUAAAAGUUUCAAUUAUUUAUUAAUUAGCAAAGUAUGAACUUUUCUUCUUGUUUUAUUAUUGUUAUUCCAUGUAUAUAAUUUAAUUAACUGUUUCCAAUAUUAAUCAAUAAAAAUAGAAUAUAAGCAUGAGAAGAAUUAGUAAAAUUCAUUGAUUUGGAAUUAGAUAGCUAGAGGAAGAACUUCAUCAUCUUCCCAUUACUUAAAUUUGUAUAAAUUCUAAAUAUUUAAACCCCCCCCCCCCCCCCCCCCCCCAAAAAAAAAAAAAAUGGUAAAGAAAGACUCCCCAAGCUUUCUUGGUUGGUGUUACCCUAAAAUUUGUACAAUAAGAUGAACCAUUUGGCUUAAAGCUUGGUGCGAAACCCCUUAUCAAUUGAAAAUAUCAAUGAAGUUGUUGAAUGGUUUUAGAGGACUAUUCUUAUGCAGAGUGGCAUAAGAAGCGAGGAGAUGAAGAGCGGAGAGACGUUAACAUCGGAUGCUGCUACGAAGGUGGGAAUACGGUUAAUUAAUUAGAUUUUGUGAUGGCUUUGAGUUUGAAGGAGUUAGUUUAAUGGGUAUUAUUAGUGAACUGAUAAUUGGAUUUGAUGUAAAGAAGGUUGGUCCAUUGGAUUAGCAAUUGGUUUGGCCUUUUGGGGGCCCCAUUUCCAAAUGCAUUGCCUUUUACAAGCAUUCAACAUCGCUGGACGUAACCAGGCUUGGUUCACCUAAAAGUAUCGCAUGGAUUGAAUUGACUAAGUUUUCAUUGUAGACUAGCCUUGAUUUUCCCUUGACCUGCCCACCAAAUCCUGAUGCCCACGCGAGGGAAUACCUCAAUUUUCUAAUAAUUUAUGCAGUUUCUCUUCAAAGCUCGUGUGAUCACUUGGGUCGGUAAAAUAAUGCAUUCCUCUACUUUUUCUCCCUUCCUAGAUGCAUGUUAUACCAUUAAUUCAAAUGUGAACAUGGGCUUGGCUUUGAAACUUGGUUCAAGGCCCAACAUGUUGACCCACAAUUGAGGUGUAAUUGAAUUUGUACACUUUUCGACUUUGAUACCAUUUGUCAUUACCAUUGACAUUGGGUCAUUGUUGAUUUUGAGUCCACAACUUUUAAGGUUGUUAUUACAAUUUUAAAUUGCGCCCACCCAAUUUAUAUGCAUUAUCCCUUAUAAAUACCGAUAACCUCUCUUUCUUCGAUAAUAUAAAAUGUCACAUAUAUUAUAUAUCUCAAUGUUUUCUUUUACUUUUUUUUUUUUUAUCGAUCGACAUUCUCUCUCAGAUGAUAUGAGAUGUCACAUAUAUUAUAUGUUUCAAUGUUUCUUUUACUUUUUCUCUUUUUCCUCAUGAUUGACAUUGUCUUUCUCAAAUGAUAUGAGUUGUCACAUAUAUUUUAUGUCUCAAUGUUUUCUUUAACUUUUUUUCUCUCUUCUUUAAUGAUCGACGUUCCUUUUCUCAGAUGAUAUGAAAUGUCAUAUAUAUUAUAUGGCUUAAUGUUUUCUUUUACUUAUUCUUUCUUUAUUAAUAAUCGACAUUUUAAGCAAUAUGUGAAUAUAAAGCAUUAAAAUUAUCUCCAUCGUUUUUGGAUGUGGUAUAAAUACACAAUUCUUAUUUUUGUUUUAAAUAUUUCUAUUGCUAUCUAUUGAAAUUUUAUGCAUGAAGCUACCAAGUUAAUUAUACAUAUAUCUUAAGAUUUUUUUUUUUUUUUUUUAUAGGAUAUAUUGUCCAUGAAUAUUUUCUGCAAUGGUAUCUUGUUUGAUUACUAUAAGAAAUAAUAUAUAUAUAUAUAUAUAUAUAUAUAUAUAUAUAUAUAUAUAUAUAUAUAUAUAUUAUAUUUCAAUGUUUCAUAUUUGCUUAAAAUAAAAAUUAUAUUUUAUCACAAUAUUUGGUAUUAAAAAAAAUGAAAUCUCUCUCAUUUAUUAUUACAAAAAAAUUAUAAUUUAUAAUUUUCUAAAUAAGUUUUAUUUAUUUGCUAACUAUAUUCAUGAUUAAAAGAUUUAAAAUUUAUAAAUAAAAAAUAUUAUGUCAUGUCAUUAAAUAAAUAAAAAUAUAUGUAUAUAUUAAAAUUAUGUUUUAUUGUAGCUUUUAAUAUUUUUUUUUUUAUUCUUUUCUUUUUUGAACUACAAUUUUAAUUUUUUUUAAUCAAAAUUUUUUAAUUUACAAAACGAGUAACAUAAAACUUGCCUUUGAACUUUAUUGGAAUGUUAUAUACUACCAUUUGGCUUUCAAGACAUUAGAAAAGGCAUAAGUGUCCCUUUUAUUUUUCCGAAAGGCAUAUUAGACUAUAGUAGGAAGUGUUGUAUAGAGGCAACUAAAAGUUGCCUUUAACUUUAUGAAGUCAUAUACUCCUCUUUGGCUUUGAUGACAUCAACUAGCAAAUUGGAUUUUGUUUCCUUUGCAACAUUUUUCCAUCCAUUAGCCAGUUUUUUUAUACUGUUUGGUGCUUGCCAACAUGGCACACACUAUGGUUCUUAAAAAGUAUUUUUUUUUUUAAGAUACUACGAAAUAAAAUACACGAUUGAAAGAUGAGUCACAAUAAUUUUCAAAACUAAAUUUUUUAAUAUUGUUAAGAAAAUUUGACCACCAAAUGAUUGAUUUUAAAUUACAAAUACUUUUGUUAGCUAAGAAAUUUGUUGUUCUAUUUGUUUCCCUAUAAAUAUGACAACAAUCAUAAAUAUUUUCAUUUUAAGAUAAUUUUCAAAUAUCUUCCAUUAAUAAUAUAAUAGAAUUAGGAAUUUUUUUUUUAGUUAUAACAAUCUAUAAUUAUUUAAGAGUCUUCCUCAAUCUCUAGGUUUAAGAACUUAUUGUUCUUAACAACUAACAUGUCAUCUCUUAAAAUAAUACAUUCUGCAAUAAUUAUUGAAAUAUGAUAUAAUAUAUAUAUCUACUUACAACCAUUUUUGUAGUACCAUUAGAAUUUUUAAUUACCCAUUCUAAAGUAUUUUUAUUCUCUAUUCUUAAACCAUCAAAAUUUAAUUUAAAUCUUUCAUUAAUUGGAUAAAUCCAAUGAAUCUAACAAGUUAAAGGAUUAUGAAUCCGACAAAACAGUUGAUAAUAAAUUAAUAAUGCCAUUAAUAUGAUUUUAAUGUGAAACACAAUUAUCACAUUUAAUACAGUUAGUCCUUGUAUGAUUAAUGUUUUGGAAGCUAAAAUCAAUCUUUUGACUAUAAUAAGAGUUUCUACUAUUUCUAUUUUUGGAUGAUUUUAUAUUUUUCUUAUUGUUUUAGUUUAAUACAAAAAAUAAAAAUAAAAUUACAUUAGUAGAAUUUUUUUAACUUACUCAAAAACCUAUUUUAGUUGAAUGAUUUUUUUAAAAAAAAUAUAAAUAUUUUGUUAAAAGGGAUAAAAUAACCUUACCUUGUGAAAAAGACCUCUUCACCCAAGAUUACUUGUUCAUAAUCCUUUUAAGACGAAAAUGCCCCCUUCCUAAAAAAUAUUUCAUCUUAAACUUAUUUUUCUUUUUAUUGCCCUUUGUUCCAUCCUUCCGGCUUGGGAGAGAAAUUCAUUCUUCUUUUGCGAAGAAAAAUUCCUAUUGCGAUUUUUCAUUUCAAGUGGAAAAAAAAAUUCUUAUUUCAUUUUAAAGAAAUUGUACAUUUUCAAUCUUUCUCUUUGUUCCUAGUUGAGGGUUUUUUUUGUAAUUUUAUCUUAACACUACAAAUUUAAAGGUGAGAUUAAAUCUUAAUGGUUAUUAGUUAAAUCACAUAUCUAACUUUGUUUUUGUCAGGACCUAUAAUAUGAUUGGAACCACCAUCCAAACUUCAUUAGGUGGGAUACUCCCCACCCUCCCCCUCCCCCCGCGAAAUCCUUGGAUUUUAGUUUUGACUUGGAUUUCAAUUGCCCGUAUCAAUUUUUCUUUAUUUAUUAAUUUAUUAAUUUUCAACUUUAACAAAAGCCUUGAAUCAUAUUUAAAUUCAAAUAACUUAAUCCUAAUUAAGUUCUUUUUAAAUAAAAAUUAAUCAUUGAAAAGUUCAUGUGACUAUUAUAAUUGAGAAUUUAUCCCAAGUUGGGUUUUUUGCAAAUAAAAUUUUAUUAUAGGACAUCAUGAUGCAACAUAACAUAAGGUUGUUACUUAAGUUUGUUUUGACCUUGUAAUAUGUUAAAAUGAAAAUGAAGCCAUUGUAACAGGAGAGAAUGAUGAAGCUGUGGAGAGAGCUUAACAAAGCUUGGGUUGGAGAGACUUCACAGGAAGAGAGAGAGAGAAAUAAAGGGUAAAAUUAUCAAAAGAGAAAAGAAAAAAAAAAAAAAAAAAGAAGGUUAUGUCUUCAAAUAAUCAAUAAGAGAUGUCAUUUUUCUAAUUUUCAAAGUUCUUUUGGUCCUUCUCUACAAAUAUCCCUAUAAAAAUAUUAUAAUAUCAAGUUAAUUUGUCAAUACCAAAAUUUAUAUUUUAUAUUAGGGCGACUAAAUAACAUAUAGAAAGAAUUUUAAAUGAGUAAAUCAAAUCAAUUUUGAAACCAAAACUUAAUAAUUACCAAACUUGUAAUCUUAGUCAUUAAAAGUGUACGAUGAAAUCUAAAUUAUUAAGCAAUGAAACAAAAAAUUAAGAUUAAAAUACAAAACGUUAAAAUCAAGAUACAAACUAUUAAAAUGUAAGUGGGAUAUGAGAUGAUAUUAUAAAAAAUAGUGUGAUCCAACAAAAAGUCUAGUACAUCAUUAUCUUCACUUCCAACCAUGUUUAAAAGGUCACAAGUUCUAGCGGUUUCCAAGGACAAUGUUAAAAAUAAUAAAAAUAAAUCCAAUUAAAUAUUAAUUAAUUUAUUUGAAUUUGAGUCCGACAAAAUAGUUGGUAAUAAGUUAAUAAUGCCAUUAAUAUGAUUUUAAUGUGAAACACAAUUAUCACAUUUAAUACCCGUUAGUCCUUGUAUGAUUAACUUUUUAGAAAUUAAUAUCAAUCUUUUGAUUAUAAUAAGAGUUUCUACUAUUUAUAUUUUUGGAUGAUUUUAUAUUUUUCUUAUUGUUUUAGUUUAAUACAAAAAAAUAAAAAUAAAAUUACAUUAGUAGAAUUUUUUUUAACUUAUUCAAAAAACCUAUUGUAAGGUGAAUGGUUUUUUUAUUUUUUUUUUAAAUAUAAAUAUUUUCUUAAAAGGGAUAAAAUAACCUUACCUUGUGAAAAAAGGCCUCUUCACCCAAAUUUACUUGUGCAUAAUCCUUUUCAGACGAAAAUGCCCCCUUCCUAAAAAAUAUUUCAUCUUAAACUUAUUUUUCAUUUUUAUAACCCUUUGUUCCAUCCUUAUGAUUUGGGAGAGGAAGUCAUUCUUCUCUUGUGAAGAAAAAAUUCCUACUGCCAUUUUUCAUUUCAAGUGAAGAAAAAUAUUUAUAUUUCAUUUUAAACAAAUUGUACAUUUUCAAUCUCUCUUUGUUCCUAGUUGAGGUUUUUUUUUUUUUUUUUUUUUUUUGUAAUUUUAUCUUAAUUGUACAAAUUCGAAGAUGAGAUUAAAUCUAUAAUGGUUAUUGGUUAAAUCACUUAUCUAACUUUGUUCUUGACAGAUCGUAUAAUAUGAUUGGAACCACCAUCCUAACUUUAUUAGGUGGGAUCCCUUUUUUUUUUUCCCCAAACCCUUGGAUUUUAGUUUUGACUUAUAUUUCAAUUGUCUGUAUCACUUUUUCUUUAUUUAUUAAUUUUCAACAAGUUCUUUAACAAAAGCCUUGAAUCAUAUUUAAAUUCAAAUAACUUAAUCCCCAUUAAGUUCUUUUUAAAUGAAACUUAAUCAUGUGAAAGUUCAUGUGACUAUUAUAAUUGAGAAUUUAUUCUUAGUUGGGUUUUUUGUAAAUAAAAUUUAGUUAUAGGACUGUGAUGAUCCGUUCUCAACCGUAUAAAUAUUGUUCGUUUUGAAUUCAAAAUAACUUUUACGGCUUUAAAACAUGUUUACAAGAUUAAGAGGAGUCCAUAUUUAUAUAGCUUCACGAACUUUCCCCCCUAUUCGAUGUGGGAUGUCACAAGGACAUCAUGAUGCAACGUAUAACAUAAGAUUGUUUCUUAAGUUUGUCUAACCUUGUAAUGUGUUAAAAUGAAGAUGAAGCCAUUAUAACAGAAGAGAAUGAUGAAGUUGUAGAGAGAGCUUAACAAAGCUUGGGUUGGAGAGACUUCAUAGGAAGAGAGAGAGAGAGAGAGAGAGAAAUAAAGGGUAAAAUUAUCAAAAAAGAAAAAAGAAAAAAAAGAGGGUGAUGUCUCCAAAUAAUCAAUAAGAGAUGUCAUUUUUCUAAUUUCAAAGUUCUUCUGGCCCUUCUCUACAAAUAUCCCUAUAAAAACAUUAUAAUAUCAAGUUAAUUUGUUGAUACCAAAAUUUAUAUAUUAUAUUAGGAUGACUAAAUAACAUAUAGAAAGAAUUUUAAAUGAGUAAAUCAAAUCAAUUUUGAAAUCAAAACUUAAUACCUACCAAACUUGUAAUCUUAGUCAUUUAAAGUGUUCCAUGAAAUCUAAAUUAUUAAGCAGUGAAACAAAAAAUAUAAGAUUAAAAUACAAAACGUUGAAAUCAAGAUUCAAACUAUUAAAACGUAAGUGGAGACGUAAGAUGAUGUCAUAAAAAAUAGUGGGAUCCAACAAAAAGUCUAUUAAUCAUUAUCUUCACUUCCAAUCAUGUUUAAAAGGUCACAAGUUCUAGCGGCUUUCAAGGACGAUGUUAAAAAUAAUAAAAAUAAAUCCAAUUAAAUAUUAAUUAAUUUAUUUGAACAAUAGAUAGGACCAAAAUAAUAUUCUAAAAGGAAUCAUAGGGAAGUCCUUGGACAACCUACGACAUUGAACAAAGGUACAGUGAGACAAUGCACUUAGCCCUUCCUUGUCAUUGCGAUGAAUAUAAAAAGACACCCUGAUUGAGGGUGCCCCACUAAGCCAAGAGUGAUUCUUUUGUAUUGUAUAACGUGAAUAUUUUUGAACUUUGAAUGACCCUUCCUAUAGUCAUCAUUGUCAAAACUAGAAAAUCAGAAAGAUGCGAUGUACGAAGGCACCAUUGAAUAAGAGGCUUAAUUCUCUUUGGCAAUUAGGAUAAAGUUUCAAAAUAGAAAAAUUAAACAAAUGUACAGUGUACGGACACUUGGGCAUUGCCUAUUUGUUUUGUUCUUCUAGAGUUGUAUAUGGUAAAGGUCAUAUUGGGUUGGUUCUAUUUGGUUAUUGAAGUCGGCUAGAAUAUUAGAUUUGGUUUCAAUCUAAUCCCAUAUGAUAUUAGAAUACCAGCCCAUACAGAAUUUUUGACCAAAUAUAAUAUUUCUUUUAAAUAUAAAUAUAGUAAUUAAUUUUAGUCUAAGAUUAAUUAUGUAGUUUCCUAAAGAGACCACUUCCUAAACGGUAGCUAUGUGGAAGUUGGGCCAGGUCCUGCCGAGAAGGUUUCCACGAGCUGAGCCCAAAACUGAGUAGCUGUGAUGGGAUCAUUCUAGCAUUCAGCCUGAAACUUGUAACAUAACGGAUCGAGAGGCCUGAACUCCAAGACCAUGGUUCGUCAGCCCAUUAACUUCAACAGCACGCAUUUUAGAGGACUGGGCUUGCAAGGGGUGAGGUUUCCGGGCCGCGACCCCAAAUAUGAACAGCCUCAGAAGUGAUAUUGCUUACUGGCACGUGAAGAGCGCAAGCGUAACUAGAAGAUUUGUAAUGCCGCUUUAAUUGUUUGAUUAUAGAAUCCCACGCAUUACGCAUGGAAAGUGUAAAAGAUAAAAGAUGUAGAAUUUUUUCUUAGAGAAAAGUUCGUUUGGAUAUAGUUAUUGUUUUUUUUUUAAAUAAUAAUUGUUUUUUUUAUAAAUUAUAGAUAAUCUUAGAAAUUUAUCUUUAAAAAAAUAGUUUUUAAAAAUAUUUAAGGAGAAUAAAAGUGAUAAAAAAAAACUUUACAAUUUCAAAUUUUUAAAAAAUGAAAAUUAUUUUUAAGAAUAUAAGUUAAUCUCCUGCAUUUAAAUCUUAGGUGGUUUUUGUUUUUUUUACUUUUCGCUGAAAACAAUUUGUUUUCAAAAUUUAGGUCAUUUGUUUUUUCUAUUUUUUCAUGAUUUAUUAUAAAUUUUUUACUAAAUAAAAAAAAUCAAAAUAUGUAACUUUUUCUAAAUAAAAAAAAUAACGUAUUGAUUUUUCUUUACUUUUUAAUACUUAAUAGAUAUAAAAUACUACAAAAACAAAAAAUCUAAUAUUUAACACUAUUAAGCAUUAAAGUUCUAUUUAGAAUUAAGUAAAAAAACAAACACCACCUUAUAUUUUAUAUAAAAGUUACUUAUAUUUUGGUUUUUGGAAAUAAAAAAUAUAAAGCAUAUCCAAACAUGAGCUUAGCUAUUUUAAAUCAUAUCAAAAUAAUAAUCCCAAUAAGGUAAAUGGACUUUUAUACGGAGAAUAAUCUUUAAGGUUUUCAUUUUUAUUGGAUUUUUUUUUUGUGGUGUUUUUUCAAUCCAUCUUCUCAAUUAAUUCCUUAAAAUUAUUUUACUGUUUUUUUUUUUUUCAGUUUCUAAAUAUUUGAUUUUUCCAAAAUGCUUAAAUGGAAGACACUAAUUUUUCAAGAUAUUUGGUAUUACAAUUUUCCCUGUUCUCCCUAUUAUCUAUCAGAUUCAUGGCCCUUUUGUUUUUUCAUUGGUUUUCAAUUUAAUUUUCCAAAUAUUACAUUGUUGUGUUUUGAAUUUGUGAAACCAAUUUUAUAUAUAUAUAUAGUAUGUAAGUCUACUUUGGGUAACAUGUACAGAGAGGUUUUCAUGUGUUUGAAACCUUUUACCUCAAAAAUUAAUUAUUUUUAAUUUUAUAAUAAAUCUUUUUUUAUUUUUUAUUUUAUUUAGGAAAGCCUAUAUUUAAACUACAUGUUUGCAACGCAACACCAUACAUACUCCUAGUGGAACUUACCUUAGUGCUUGAGGGGGAUGCAGAUCUUCUUCUAAACCUAACUAAUAAGCAUAAAAUUGUUCACUAAUUAGCAUAUCUAGUAAAUCAUACAAAUUGGCAAUAUUUCAUGUUUUUCAUGUUUUGUCAAUAAAAGGCGUCUUGACCAUUUUGUGAGUUUUGUAAUAAAUAAAAAAAAAAAAAAAAAAAGGGCAAAAGGUGACUAAAAUGAGGCACUUUGGAAAGGUUAAUAACCUAAAAGGAAGAUGAAUUAAUACCCCCUUAUUCCUCUUCAAAAACCAUUGAGAAAAUGCAAGAAAUGCUCUUAGUUGUAUGCUAGGCUAACAGCCUAGCAACCAUAAUACCCUUCUUUGCAAUUGUAAGCAUUUUUUUUUUUUUUUUGAAGGCCAAACAACGUUGCAAACUUCCCAAAUCCCUUCUUUAUUUUUUAUUUUUUUAUUUUUGUUUUUAGAAGGAGAAUGAAUUUGAUGACAAACUCCUUGUCAAUCUUAUCCAAACCACGAUCGAACAGAACUCCUUGUCAAUCUUAUCCAAACCGUGUUCCACCUCAAAAACAUGUGUAGGACUUAAGGCAGCAACUGGCAAGCAUGACUGAUAGGGCCAAGUGCCCUUGUCUCUACAAUCCAUUAAGUUAACCAAGGGCAGUGAACCAUCAUUCUUUUCAAAAGCUUCAUUCCGUGUUGAAAAUGUGAGACUGAAGCAUGGUGCCCCCAAAAAUAACGAUCUAUUUACUAGCAGCAUGCCUGGACCCAUUAAAAAUACUCUACUUUAGGAAUAGAAAAAAUUACAUCUUUAUCCAAUAAUUUUAUAACAAUUCAGACGUUUCAGUCUAUAAAUAAUUGUACAUAGUUGCCAACGUUUAGCUAGUUUCAAAUGAAUAGCCUAGGUUCAUGCACCAGUUUGGCUGGUGGAGGAAAGGGAUUCGAGACAUUGAACCCUCUUUUUAGUGUGCCAAAUAUUCCACAAAAAUCACUACCUUCUCUUUGUGUUUGUUCACUUUUAGUUUAUAUUUAAUAAAUCUAUGUUUUCGAGUAGAGGUUGGGUUCAGGUGCGACCCACGUCACCUCUCGGACGGUCUUGAAAAAGGAGACCGGACCACGUAAUUUCAAAUGUAGUGACCAUCUCACUUUUACCUCCAUCCUUGAAGAUGGUUUCCCAAAUCAAUAUUAAUCUUUUGUUUACGACAAUAUCGAUCACUUUAUGUCUAUAUCGUUGUUAAUUUACCUUUUUUUUUUAGCCACAUUAUUUGAAAAUUGAUGCAAACUUUACCAACAUCUUGGUACCAUUUUAAAAUAUUAGAGUUAUUUGAUUAAAAAAAUAAAAUAAUCUCGAUAACUUGUUUAUAAAAUAAAUAUCUUUUAACAUUUAGACUAUUCUCACGCAUGCUUUAAAAUUGUAAAGAUAUUCAUAAAGUGGAACUUUAGACUUAAUCAAUAUCGAUCACUUUAUGUCUCUAUUGUUGUUAUAUUUUUUUUUUACAACAUUAUUUGAAAAUUGAUGCAAACUUUACCAACAUCCUAAUACCAUUUUAAAAUAUUAGAGUUAUUUGAUUAAAAAAAUAAAAUAAUCCCGACAACUUGUUUAUAAAAUAAAUAUCUUUUAAUAUUUAGACUAUUUUCACCAUGCUUUAAAAUCAUAAAGAUAUUUAUAUUCAUAAAGUGGAACUUUAGACUUAAACAUGAUAAUAGUUUUUUUACAAUAUUAUAAUUAUUUUAUCGUUUUAAUUAAGCCCUUUAUCAUACAUAUAAAUGUAAAUUAAUGCUAAAUUUUUAAAGCAACGUAUAACCUUUUACAUCUUUUUUUAAGAUGGUGCGAAAAUCCUAUGAAAAAUAAUAAAAGUCGAUGCAUAAGAAGAUUGUUUUGAUAAUUCAAUAGAAAAAUUCUUUUAAAAUGAUAUUAAAAAAUACCCAUAGAGCCUUUAUUAAAAAAAUCAAUUAUUUUCAUAAUAAAAAUUAUAAUUUUUUAUUAUGUAUUAUUAUUUUUAAGUAUCUUUAUUACAAAUACUUUUUUUGAGUUUAUGAGAGGAAUCAACAGGUUGGUACAAGCUUAGGCGUCCUCGUACAUGUUCCCGCUGUGCAAGGUUUUUGUCUUGUUUCGAGCUAGUCGGAAUUUACGUGUUUGAUAACGUUUUGUCCUAUUUUUGUAACGCUUUAAAGGGCGGCCCACCGUUGGAACAGUUCAAGCCAUCCAAAUCAGCCCGGAGGGUUAUGGCGACGUGGCAUGACGCCUACCACCUUAGUUCACAUGAACCCUAUGAUCGUACUACCCUCACAUGACAUCUGUGAUUCUUCACCUCCAAACCCUCUUUAACUUGGUAAUGUAUUCAAAGCUUCAUCAAAUCAUAGCGAUUAGCGACCCUCUUCCACCCUAAUUUUAUAAUAAAAAAUAAAUCUUAGUGGACAUUAAAGUAGUAUUUUGUGGGGGGAAAGAAAAACUCUAUGGGCGUAUCCACUAAAUACGAGCCAAGUAUAAGAGUUAUCACCAUGGAAUCAAAUUAUGAAGCAUUGACAUUUUAAUUGUAUUCAGAUUUGAGGAGGGCACCGCGGCACCAGCUGGCCCAGUGUAGUCUGCUAGCCUACCCGCCAUAAUGACCAAAUUAAUAAAGUAAAAAGGAUUACAGGGAUAUUCCCAACUUUAUUCUGGGUCUGAGCUGGAACUUGGGAGUUAUCACGAUCAACGGGAAAGAUGGUGGGUAGGGGACGAGGAUUGAGGGCUCCAUAUUCACAUCAGUGAAAAACGAAAUGUAUUGAGACAAGUCUUCUAAGGAUUUUCUAGCGUAUUAUAUGGUUUAAAUGAUUAUAAAUCUGUAGUUACUGGUAAAGAGUAGAGAGUGAAGACGAAAGACGUUGAGUGAAAAGGAAGGAGGAGAGGGGAUGGGGCCAUCUUACCGUGUCGGGGAGGAUCCAUAAAAGGACUACGUUCCCUGAAUCUGUAGGCAUCAUGCCUCGCCUAACGGGUUAGUCAAAAUACAGUGAUGUGUGUGAGUUGGGGGCCUCACUCCUCAUUUCUUUCCUUCUUUUCACCCCCACCCCCACUUUUUUUUUUUUUUUUUCGAAUUUUUCUUUGUCCUUUUCUCUCACUUGCGCACGCGGGAGAAGGACCACAAACUAGACAAUUCCUCUGCUCACGUGACCCCGAGUUUUUAAAUAUUUGCCUAUUUGGAAAAUAGUCAUGAAUCAUGAUCGUUAACAAACAAUCUUCACUUUAUUUAUUUAAGAUCUAUUUUUUGGAGCUCUAGUUUAGUUUAUUAUUAUUAUUAUUAUUAUUAUUAUUAUUAUUAUUAUUAUUUAGUAACUCCUCUUAUAUUAAUGAAAAAGAGAGGAGGAAUCCAAACUUGUUUAUUCUUCCUCUUUUAAGGUGUUUGUUUUUUUUAUUUUAUUUUUAUGCUUCAUAUGUCUUCAAUUUCUUAGCAUUUGUCUUAUAUUUCUUCUUAUCCGAUUCAUUAUUGCAUCCUUGGUCAAUCUUUCACGAGGAGUGCCUACUUUUUUCCUUUUUAUUAUUUAAUUCACUUUAUCUUUAUAUUUUCCUUUUACACUUUAUUUCCAAUUCAAAACGUGUCAAAAAAAAAAAUUGGUAACAAAAAAAAAAAAAAAAAUCAAUUGUAAUGAUUCUUAUAUAAUUUUAUUUAAUUUUUAUUAAACAAUAAAGAAAUUAAAAAUAUAUAAAUUUUUAAAUAAUUAUUAUAGUCUUUCAUUUUUGUGUAUAAUUUCUUUUGCAAGAAAUAGUGUAGGCUUUCCACGGUCUAAAGGAAAUGGAAUAUCAAAUGAGAAGGUAAUAAUAAUAAAGUGAGUUAUAGAUACUAAUCAAACUAAUCCACUAAUGAAUUAUUUAUUUUUAUUUCACAUGGACAAAUCCUAAAAGUUGGAGUUCUAAUUUACUUUUAUGUUAAGCUUUUUUAAGUAAAAAUCUUUUAUUAUUAUAAUUUAUAGACAAAAAGAAACCCAUUAAUGUGAUGGAUAAAAAAUUUCAAUUUAAAAAAAAAAAAAUUAAAGUUGCUAAAUUUUUGUAUUUAUUAUUUCAAACUCAUUUAAAUAAUUUAAAAAUAUGUCUUCAAUUAAUUUUAAUGAAACAAAGCAUGAUUUUUUUUUAAUUUUUUUUUCUUUACCAAAUAAAGCAUUAUUAUAAUACGUUGAUUAAAUUUUCAUCAUGUCUCUCAAGAUUUGGAUUAAAUAUACUUAGUUGUCAUAAAUUUGAAAUUUUAUUUAAUGUAUUUUUUAUUUUAAAUUAAAAAGAUGAAUGCAAAUAAAAAAAAUAUGUAUAUUUUAUAAAAUUUUAAAUUAAACGAAGGAUACGUGUAUUUAACCAAGGUGAAUGAAAUUAAUCCAAAUACUUUUUGGUAACUUGCAAAAUAUCUUGACGAAAUCAUUAUGGCAGGCAUCGUACAAGCUCAACCCUUGUCGCCUUGCUAGAAAUAGAGAAACAAAAAGACCCCCAAAUUGGGUUGCAUCCUAAAUAUGAAGAAGUGGUAACAAAGGAAGAAAAAAUGCUGUGUUAUUGAAUAGUUAAUACAUUGAACAUGAUAUGUUACAUAGAGAGCCAGAUUAAUCCUAGUGGAAUUCCACUGUCACGAUGGUAACCUAGGGUUAUGUUUGGUUAUUGAAAAUACCAAGAAAAGAAAAAAAAAUAUAAAGGAAAAUAAUUUUUUCAUUUUUGAUUGUCUUAUAAAAGAUAUAAAAAAAAAACAAAUAUAAUUAAAACUAAUUAAAAAUUUAGGUAUUUUUAAAUUAUUUAAUUUUUAUAUUAAUGAGCGAAAAUAAAUAAAAUAAGUUUAAAAUAACAAAAAAAAUAAUUUACCGAUUUUUAAUCUAUAUUUUAUUUUACUUUUUCUUUGUAUUUUUUUUUUCUUAUAUUUUCCCUCAAAUUUUCUGAAUCAAACAUAGCAAAAAAGGAGCUACCCCUUUCGAAAGAAACUCCCAAGAAUUUCAAAGAAACCUGCUGAGAUAAUGAAUGAGGGAUCACUGUCGGUAAACAGUAUCCAUUCUUUUGGGAGGACUUUCAAACUGAGAAGUUGUUUUCAUGACUUGGAAACAAAAUUUUGAGCUCUAAGGGGGUCUGUAUUUGGGCCCUAAAAUUCAAUCCAUCAAUCUGAAAAAUGCUUAGGAUAAUGAUUUGAUUUAGCCACAAUCACUAAACAAAUUCCAGAGGAAAAUUUCGCUACUCAUAGGUGGCUGAUUCUCAUAAAAAGACAUCGUGGUAGGGUGUCUCAAGUGCAGGCUCACCAUCAACUUGCUGCCCUUUUUAGAUUAUUGUAAAAUGAUUUCACAUGAAGCCCAAUGCAAAACUUUGAAAGAAAAGGUUGGUGGAGACGUGAAGAAUAUGUAACCCAUAGGCCAUAACUAGUACCGAAGAUUAUUGAACAAACAUUCAAGGUUUUUGUAUAGACGAAACUGAAAAGAAUGUGUACCAGACUCAGGCGUUCAGAUCAGAUGAUGCCGUAAUGUGGAUUGUGGAGGAGCAUUGUGCAGACAGAUAAUGAGAUUCUGAAAGCGAGGCCACUGAUGGGCCCUUGGAAGGGGGGCGUGCCUUCAAAAUUAUAUAUAUAUAUAUAUAUAUGUCAUUGAAAAUUGGAAGCAACUUUUCUUCUUAAGUUAUUUUAAUCGAAGAAGAAACAAAAAGUUAAAAACAUACAUUAUUCUUCCUUCUUACGAGGUUUCCGGGUCUAAAUUACUAUGGUCUCUGCAACUGGCGUCGUUUUCUCUCCCCUCUCUCUAUUUUCCCUUUAUUUUUUCACUUUUAGAAAGAAGCAUCCCAUCAAGAAUCUACUACAACCCUACGCUUCCAUUUUGAUUUAGAAAGUUAAAAAUAAGUUUAAGUUAAAAAAAAAUAUUUUCUUAUAUAAUUAUUUAAACUUAUUUCUUUUCCUUUUUAUAUAAAGAAACAAAUAUUUUGCAAAUAAAUAAAUUUCUAAUUAUUUUCAUUAACAUAAUAAUAAUAUUUUUCAUAUGACUUUAAUCACAAUUUUUUUUACCACUUGUCCAAGGCGGUGAGAGGUGAUAAAAUGUAUUAAAAAAACGAUUAAAUUGCAUUAGGUAUAGAAGUUUUGUGCUUCAAUUAUCACUUAUAAAAAUAAAAUAAAAAUAGUCAAAUUUGAGUGUGCAAGUUGGUAUUCGUAUGUAGAAGGAAUUGGGGGAUUUGGGGGUCCUAACAAAUUUGAUAUGAUUGAUGGAAGGAAAUGAUUAUUAUAGGAUAAAGUCCGAAUGAAACGCUGACGAGGGGGGAAAAACAACAGUGGCAAUGCACUAUCCACAGAUCCAUGAUUGAUUUAUGUUAGCAAUAAUGAAUUAUUUUGACUUUGAUAACCUUGGUUAAGAGAAUUUGGUCUUGUUAUUAUCAUUUUUUCAAAAAAAAAAAGUGUAGGUAACUAGGUAGUUGAUUUAUUAGAAUUUAGAAAUGAGGAUCCCCUCCUCCUGCAAGAGCCGUGACAGACAUGCCUGCUUUCUUGCCAGAUUAUACCAAUGUGCCCAAAUAAUCCCCCAUCUAUCAUCUCUGCACCCUGGAACACGUCACUCCCUCCUUUGAGCAAUAAAAUAUCUCUUUUAUUUUCUUUUGAACCACUCUUCUAUUUCUUUGUACCAGACUGGACCCAUUUAAAUUCUUCGCUACGCUGUUCCCAAGGACUACGAGAAUCAAAAUAGCAAAAUUCUUGAAUCAUUUUAAUGGGUUCAGAAACCACAUGUUUCUCUAGAUCAUAAGAGGAAAAUCUUUUUGGAUGGUGUUUGUGUUGUGUUGUGUUCAAUAUUAAAUACUCAAUUAAAUAAGCUAAAUCAAAUAUCACAUGAAAAAUAAUCAAAUUAAAAAUAGGGAGAAUUAUGUUUUGAGGGUAGAUGGACCCCAAAUUAACAAAAGGUUCAUGUAACUCUUCAAAUUGAGCCCAGACCCAAUGAAAAUAUGGAAAUUGAGUUGAAGUAUAUCAUCAUUCAGUAUUUCCAAAAAUGUCCUUUGUUGAUUUUGAGAAAAAAAUUAAUAUUUUUGAAAAAUAUUUUUAUGUAAUUUAAUAUUUUUUUAAAUACUUUUAUUUAAUUUAAUAUUUUUAAAAAAUAAAUUUAUUUAAUUUAAUAUUUUAAAAAAUAUUUAAUUUAAUAUAUUUUUUAAAUACUUUAAUUUAAUUUAAUAUUUUUGAAAAAAAUUUUAAUUUAAUAUUUUUGAAAAAAAAAUUAUUUAAUUUAAUAUUUUUUAAAACUAUUUUUAUUUAAUUUAGUAUUUUUGAAAAAAAAUUAUUUAACUUAAUUUUAUAAAAUAUUUUAUAUGUGUUCUUAAAGGGUAUAUUUGUCCGUUACUAUUUCAUAUCCUUCAACUCAAUUUAAAGAGUUAUAUGGACCUUUUGUUAAUUUGGGGACCCAUCUACCCUCAAAAGAUAAUUCUCCCUUAAAAAUAUAAAUUUAAAUAUGACAUAAUUAUUAAAUAUGUUAGAUCUUGUAUGAGUUUAUAAGAUUUAUGUUUCAAAAUAACAUGUUUAUAAUUCAUCUAUUGAUUUAUAAUCAAAUUUUAAAUAAAUUAAAGUUAUUCAAGUUAAUAAAUAUGAUUUAUGUUAUAAAGACUAACUAAAAAAUAAUUUAUUAAUUAAACGGAUCCUGGUCAAUAAAAAUUUGAUUUAAAUACGAUCAUACUUAAUCAAAACUUAGGUCAAAUUGUAUUGAUAAAUUACAUCAAAACCUUGUUGUGUUCAAUAUUUUAUAUUAAACUAUUUUUUAAUAAAAUUAUUUUUAUAAAUAUAAUAUUACAUCAUUUGGAGAAACAAAAUAGUAUUAUAUUGAUUUUACAUAUAAAGCAACCAGUUAACCCCUCAUUAUUUUGAUCCAUUUCACAUCCAUAUCAUUCUCAUAAUUUUUUUAUAAUAUAUUAACAUGAUGGACGGUAAUUGAGGGUAGAAAAAAAAGAUGAGAAGAAUAAAAUAAUGUGAAUCCUCUCUAAAUGUUACAUCUUCUGACAAAUGAAGUCUAUAGAAAUGUGUAAAAAAAAAAAAAACACUUAAUUGUGAGGUUCACUUGAUUUAGCAAAAAAUUAAUAUUUUAUUUGUUGUGUGAUUUAAAAAUAAUAUUUUAUUUUUAAAAAUAAAAAAUUAUUUUUAAAGUUUUUUAACACUAUUUUACUAUUGUUCUUUGAAAUAAUUUUUAAAAUUAAAAUGAAAUAACUAAUAAUUUUUAGAUAAUAAAUUAAAGUUGUUUUUAUUAGAUUUUAAAAAUAAAAGAAAAAUAUAAAACCAUUUGAUCAAAUUUUUUUAAACUUAUUUUUAAAAGGUUUUUUUUUUUUUUUUUUUUUUUCUAUCCUAAGUUAAAAGAUAAAAAAUAAUUUUUAAAGAUAGGUUACGAGCAAAUGCCACAAACUUUUUUCUUCUCUUUCCCUUGUUCGGAUAGAAGUGAAAAAUAUCCUCCCAUGGAUCGACAUUACGUGAGCCAUCACCAUUCCCCAACUGCAAUUCAACCGCCAAAGCUGAGGUGUCAUUAUUAGUUUGAACAAAAGUCAGCAUUGUCCACGUGGUGACAAGCGGAACUGACCCAACUUGCAAGGCAAAAAAAUAAAUAAAAUAAAAUGAAAAAAUCAGAUCACCAUUAUGACGUCAGUCCAAUUGCUGACCUGGCCGCCGUCCCCCAUUUGACCCACGUGUUCAUUUAACCCAUUCGCCGUAUGCCGUGGCUCCCCACCCAUAUGGCCAUAUCUGCCAUUUAUUUUAUCCGUUGCCUCCAUUCGGUUUUUGGAUUUUACCCAUUCGCCCUCGUCUAUUCCCAUUUCCGUAUUUGCCCACCAAGGAAAUUCAAUUCCCAUGCUUUUGUUUUACAUUCAAAUCCUCCCCCCUCUAUAUAAAGGAGGGAGUAGGGCUUGAAAGUUUCUCAAGCCAACAUGGACUGUUGAGAGUGAAAGACAGAGGAGCCACAAACAAAUAUCACUCACUCAAACCAAAGCCAAAACCAAUACCGAAUUCAAUUCAAAUGACUUCUUUCUCUCUCAUCAAUUCCCUGAAUUCCGAUUCCGAUUUCAAUUUGUUAUCGGAUUCUUUUUCCUGGGAAAACUCCCUACCUUUCAAUGAAAACGACUCCCAGGAGAUGCUCCUCCUGGGCAUGCUGGCCAGCUCCACUCAGGAAACCUCAGAAACAGUUUCUUUGAAUCGAGUGAAGGAGGAAGAAGUGACUUCCCAGGAAAAUCCCGAGAAGGAGAAGUCAUACAGAGGCGUUAGGAGGCGGCCAUGGGGGAAAUUCGCAGCAGAAAUAAGGGACUCGACCAGGCAUGGCAUAAGGGUGUGGCUGGGAACAUUUGACAGUGCAGAGGCAGCUGCUCUGGCCUAUGAUCAAGCUGCUUUUGCGAUGCGGGGCCCUGCGGCAGUCCUCAAUUUCCCGGUGGAAAGAGUGAAGGAAUCGAUGCAGGAGAUCAAGUGCAUCUUGGAGGAGGGGGGCUCACCAGUGGUGGCCCUCAAGAAGAGGCACUCUAUGCGGAGAAAAAGUCCUUGCAAGAAACAUAAAAGUGAAGAGGUGAGGUUAGAAAAUGUGGUAGUGCUGGAGGAUUUGGGUACUGAAUACUUGGAACAGCUCCUCACUUUCUCUGAGACCUCUAGUCCUUGAUCAUCAUCAUCCAUCACCUGGAUAGCUUCUUCUCUUUGCUCUGUUUCUUACUUUUCUCUCUCUCUCUCUCUCUCUCUCUCUUUUUUUUUUAUGUAAUUUUUCUUAAUGUAUUUUUGGAGAUGGCGGGGGUGUAGUGGUGGCAAUUAUCCAUCUAGAAUUUUUCAAAAGAUAUGUUCUUUUGUUUCUUUGUAUAAAGUUGAAAAGUGGGGAUCAAUUGUGAUGGUGCUCUAUGUUCAUCCACCCAAUUUAUAUAAUCAAGGUGAUUAAUGUUUUUUGAUAUCAACAAUUUGUGAAUGACAUAGAGAGAGAGAGAGAGAGAGACCUUAUUUUCUACACUCAUUACGGUGGUUUCCAUUUGGGGAAGGAAAAGGAAAUGGCUAAGAAUGUUACCAAAAGAAGUGGGGUGGCUUUCAUAUGCGUGGUGGCAUACUUGCAUACAAACUUUUCAAUUGUGUUCUGCAUGCCACUCGGGUCAAUUUCAUUUCUUUUACUCCUAGUAGCCUAAUUGGAUUUCCUUUUUCUCAUGAGACAUCAAAUAAAUUUCAUUUUUUUAUAUUUAAAUAGUUAGGUAAGUUUGAUAGUGAGUUAUAUUUUAUACAUUAAUUCAUCUUUUAGAAUGUUGUCUACAAUAUAAACAGUGUAAUUAAUUUCAUCAUUACAGAACAGUCAUCUUAUAAAAUAACAUAAAAAUUAUUGGAUCACUUGUAUGGCACCACUGAUUUGGACUUGGUAUGGCUCUGUUUGGCUUCAUAGAAAAAAUUUGGACCCAAUUUGAAUGUCUUGCAUAAAAAGAGAUACGUCCCACUUUGAAUGAUAUUGAAGAAAAAAAUUUCUGAUGAAGAAUAUAUUGUUGGCAGGGUCAUGCAGGCCAAUAGGGAAACGAUAAAUUCAGAAGAAUGAGUCCAAACCAGUGGGCUUGAAAAUUAAGAAGAGAAUUGCUGUAUAAAACAAUCAUUUCUUAAUCGAGUUCACUUUCUGAAUAAUCGUCACUUUGAGAAUGCAUACUUAGGAAGAUGAUGAUCCUUAAUGGGAAUAAUCAAAGGCAUCAAAAAAUUGUUCUGGAACAAUUCUUGAUUGUCUCCAGUAAAAUUCAAAGUCAAAAGUCAAAAGUCCAGUCGGUCAACACCAAACCAGGCCAGUCCAAAAGACAUUAAUUUGCAAUCUAGAAUCUAUGAUGAGGUGGCGAAAUCAAACCUUGGCUUUUCACCAGGGAAUGGUACUCUGAAUUUGGUCAGUUCACUGUUUCGAGUGAAUAGGGUGUAGUAAUUAGUAAAUCAUAUUUUAGAUUUGUGUCACAAGUUACAAGGGAUAUGGGCUGACGUUCAAUUUUGGCGACAAUUUGUGGGCCCGUAUAUUUGUUGAGAUGUGGAAAUUGGGUGUGUGCUUUUUUCUGCUACCACAUAAAUAUAUUUCUUUGAAUUGAAGAGUGUUUCAGACCAUUUUUUUUCAAGUCACAAAUGGACAACUGAUUGAGAUUGUAUUGGUGAGAGUAGGAGUUUAUUUUGGGCUGGUUGAGCGAAGUUGAAAGUCGAGUUGGACCUAACCCUUGAAUUCAGCAGACUACAGUCCGAUCCUGUAUUUUGGAUUUAGGGAACCUUCUUUCCCAGAAGCUUCGUCUGGGUUUUAAAGUCUAAAUGUGGCUACUCUUAAACAUUGGAGAAAGGAUGAGCGUUCACAAGCAAAUGGGUAAUUGUGGAUGGUUCAAGGACCUGGCCAGCUGGUCUUCAAGUUUGGAUGCCGGUUUGGGCCUGAGAGAGUCUUUGCAAAGUGACUUCACUUCAGCCUAUGAGAUCAAGAUAUCAUGGUGAUGUCCGAUCACUUAGGUUUCAUUUUCACCUCGGAUUACCGUUACCAUGUUCAUGAAUAAAAAUAAAUAAAUAAAUGAAGCCUUAUAGAGAAAUUAAUGAAGUGAGCUAUACAAGCAACUGGGCCAGGAGCCUACAAGGCAGAAAUUCCCUGCCCUAGACUAGGCCGAAUAAAUUAGAUGAAUGAAUUGGGGAAACCUGGGCCAGCCACACAUCCUCCUGAAGGCUGAUGUCGAACUCGCUUACGAGGAAUGGACAUGGGAGAUUGGGCUGGGACCAAAUAACCAAUUGACAGCCCUAUCCUUGUGGCAAGACGUCAGUAAAAUGGUUCAUUCUGAUUUUACGCUGCCAUUCAAUUUAAUUUUAAUUUUUGUUUAAAGCGAUGUACAAAUUGAAUGGUGUCUAGUCACUUAAAGAGUGGUUCAUAAUACACUUAAUUUAAACAAAAAAGAAAUUAUUAGAUAGGGGAUUCUCCAAUAAAAACCACCCCAUCUUGUCAGCAAGUCCGGAAACUUCCUUCACUUAGGGCGUAUUUGUUUUUUUAACUUUAAUAUUAAAGAAAGUUGGUUAAACCUUAUGACACUUUUAUAUUAUUUUAUGAAUUUUUUUUAAUUUUUAUUUUAAUGGAAUUUUAACUUUAAUACAAGUUGGAGUAAUUCUUAUCUUAAAAACAAAUCAAAAUUACUUUAAUUUUAUAUAGAAAUAAACUUACAGUAAAUUUACCAUGAAAAUUUCUAAGUCAAAUACACCAUAAGUGCUAGUAUUUUAUAAUAUUUAGAAACAUGUUAAAUUAUUAUUAUUAUUUUUUAAAAUUAUUAGUUUUCAUAUUAGUUUUAGGGAAACUUGUGCUUUAGGUCUUUUAUUUGCAAAUAAUAUGGUUUUCAAAUCCUAAGAAUAGAAAAUAUGAGAAUCAACUGUUAAUGUGGAAAAUAAUAUCAAUUUUGUGCAAUCUCUAUUGACUCAUUUUUUUGUGCCUAGAUUGCCUUCACCCACUUCCAUGUCAACAACCACAUUAAUAGAUUGUUUUUUUUUUAUAAAACAAAUAAUUAUUAUGUUUAAAAUUUUGGGGAAACUCUCUAUCUCUCUUACUUCUUCACUACAUCCGAGACCCAUCUUCCUUAAACGUUUGCCUCUCAUUUUGCCCUAACCCCAAAUCUCAUAAAUUUCUCAUUUUCUUGCCUCAUUUGAAAUAUGAAGAUGACCGAUUCUCAAACAUCUCUGUCUCUCUCUUCACGUUUUGACCAGUCUAAUUGGAAACCCAUUUUCCAAAAACCUUCUUUCUUUCAUUUUGCCCUAACCCCACUAUCUCCCUCUUCAAGACCUAAUCACCCAAACUCGAUAUCUAUCUUCCCAAAACCUUCAAGCAAACUGAACUAGACCCAUAUCUUCUUUUUUCAUCAUCAAAGGUGAAAUUUUUUUAAGGCUUUUGGAAACCGAAUUGGAGCUUUCCCUUCUUCUGGGAUUAAUCAUUCGCAAGUGAGUUUUCCAUUUAAGGCUUUGUUUGGCUGUUGAAAUCUUGGGAUCAAAGGUCUUUUAUUUUCAGGUUUCUUGUAUUUUGCUUUAUUUUCUUGUAUAUAACAAUAAUCAUUGUAACAUAUGCUAGUAGUUACCCUUGGUGCAACUUUACAUUUCCAAAUACCCUAAAGUCCAAAGCUUUUAAUUCCCUUUUCAAAGCUUUCAACUUUGAAAGCAGACUAAACCAUAAGAACUAUGAAACUUAUAUCUCUAUCACCACUAAUUAAGCAUGUCUAUGAAUCCUUCCACUUUAAGUCACUUAUUCUCAAACCAAGAAGGGCUCCUCUCAUUCUCACCCCACCUCAUCUAAAUGAGGGAAAUGAUCAAUUGCAGCCAUGCUUUGCACCAAAUUAGAGAAGUGAUCCUCCCAAUCAUCCAUUACCAAAAAUUGAUCAUGCUGAUGAGAUCAUAAGAGUCUAUUCGGAACUCCCAGUUUACUUGCCUCUUAUCUCAGGAUCCUCCAUUACCCCCUGUCUUUCCAACAUCAAAUCAACUUGCAAACAAUUCCUUUGUAGAUAAAAUGUUUUUAAUAUUGCAAAAGGGGACUUAUCAUAAUGGUUGAAUCGAUUUAUUUGAUAUAAUCACUCAAAUUCAAGCUUAAAAUUGAUCAUAAUAAAAUGUUUUUAAUAUUGUUAAAAGGAGAUUAUAAUGGUUUUAUUUGAUAUCAUUACUAAAAUUCAAGCUUUCAAACAUGCUCUACAAAGAAGUUCUAAAAGACUACAAGAAAGAGUUUCCACUAAAGAAAAACAAUGAAACCAUUUCUACUAAAGACAAACAAUGAAACCACAGAUGCUUUGUGAAAUAUGUACCCGCACAAUCCAACAAACUUUAGAAAUUCACAAACACUACCUAGAAUUUUUGCUGACCAGCAAAAAAUUUAUGCAAUUUAAUUCUUAUUGUUAUUAUUAUUUUCAAUGUGAACAAAUAUGAUUGAAUUAUGAAGUAUUUGGCCAGAAGAGGAUCUUGCCUAAUUAUAGUCAUUAAACAACCAUUUAUACCAUAGCCUCUAGACUUUAAAAAGUUUAUAAAACUCAAGGGCUUCCACCCAAUUUCUAGAUAUCUCCAUAACAUUCUUCUGACUAUUAGAAAGCAAUUACCACUUUAAUUUUUCAUUUCAUGAGUGUUCAAUUCAGAAAAAGACCAGGAUCGAACUUGCGAUCAUGCAGUCGAAAAUCCACCUGUGCAUGAAACUAUUGCCUCACGAUUGCAAACUCAAGUUGGAGUCCAGUAACAACUCUAGGUUUGCUGAUGUGCUCCAUUUGAAAUAAAGGAACUAAAGAAUACUUUAUAAAGAUUAAUUACCUUCAUAUUUUAGGUUGGGGUUAAGGCAAAAUGUGAUAGAUUGAGAGGAAGAAAAUAUAUCUUGUUCAGGAAGCCAAUAUUUUGGAGUUCACCUUUCCAUUCGAGUCCACUCUGCUAUAGCAAAAUCAGAGUCACAACUAUGCCUCUUUAAGCUAUCCUUUAAUUGGAUGAAUUGCAGAUUUGGUUGCUGAGAAAGUGGAUAAGAAAGAAAAAUGCAUACUGUAGCUUGAGAUUAAGAGUUUGUUUUCUAAAAUGAGAGAAAGGGAAAGAGAAAAAAUGCAUAUUGUAGCUUGAGAUUAAGGGUUUGUUUUCUAAAAUGAGAGAAAGGGGAAGAGAAAUGUUCGACAACUUUGAGAUGACAAAUUUUUAGAUUUGGAAAAUUUGAGAUGAGUCUCAGGUUUUUUUUUUUUUUUUUUUGUCUUUGUCUUUGUUUUUUUUUUUUUUUUUUGUUUUUUUCCCAAAAACAACCUGUUAAUGUGGUUGUUGACAUAGAAGUGGGUGAGGGCAAAAUGGGCAUAGAAAAAAGAGUCAACACAAAGUGCACAAAACCCAUAUUAUUUUCCACAUUAAUGACUGAUUCUCAUAUUUCUUGUUCUUGGGAUUUGAAAACCAUAUUAUUUGCAAAUGGACCUCCCAAAGCACAGGUUUCCCUUAGUUUUAUGUCUCCAUCUACAUUUUACAUAUAAAUAGAUUAUUUUAUAAAAUUUGUUUUGUAGAUAUAUUAGUUAAUAAUUAUAUAAUUAAUGAUAUAGAAAACAUAUAAAAAUCAUAUUUAAAAAAGAUAAUUACAUAUUCCUCAACAAUCCAUCCCAAGAAUUCGAGGUUGAGUUGAAAACAUGUAGAGUCUUUGAUGUUAUUAUAAUCAUAUCCAACACAUAUGAUUAUUGUUUAUGAGAUAUUAUUAGAAAGUUUGUCUUAAAAUAAUUGAUUUAUUACCCACCUUUAGCAAAUGCCCAUUUUUGCGUCUUUCAAAAUUUUCAUUUUUUUUUUGUUUAAAAGAAGUAUUGUAAAGAAUGAUGAAAUAAGAAAUUUGUUGAGAAAGUGUGAGUAAAUAAUUUUACAUAAAAAGAGAUUUAAUACUUGAUAAAUAAAAUAAUAAAAUCAUGAUUUCUAGUUGUAUAGGGCCGGGUGGAUGGAGUGGCUAAGAUGUAAUUCUUGAAAUAGAGGAGACAACAUCAAUGUAUAAAAGUUUAACAGAGAAGGAAAGUGUGUUUGAAUGACUUUAUUUUCUUCAUUUAAAGUUUUGACGAUGAGUGUUUAUACAAGAUAAAUUUUCAAAUGAUAGGACUCCUAUUUACAUGGAGUUUGUGAUAUACUAUGAUUAUACAAAUUUAAAAUUCAAACAGAUUCAUGAGUUGAUAGGAGUCUGCUCAAUACGCCCCUUCAAAAUGGUGGGAGAUAGCACACCAAUCUUGACUCGAAGGGCCUAAACUCGUGCAGAAGAUGAGGGCUUUGUUAGAGCAUCGACAAGUUGAUCCGUGGUUGACAUAUGGGACACCUUGAGCUCACCUGAUUAAACCUUGUUUCAAACAAAAUGAAAAUCAAUCGCCGAUGUGUUUCAUGGAGAGUGAAACAUGGGAUUUGCACAAAGAUAUGUUGCACCCACGUUAUCACAAGAGAUAGGAGGUGGUGAUAAAUUUGAAACACUAAGUUUUGAGAGAAGAGAAUUAACCCAAAGAACCUUUGAGGCUGUAGAGGCCACGACGUGAUAUUUCGCUUCAGUGGAAGAGCGUGCUAUGAACUUUUGUUUCCUCGAUGACCAAUACACAAGAUUGUGACCAAGAAAAACAAUGGGAGCAUUGGUGGAGGAUCUGACAUAAGGAUUCCUUGCCCAUUCAACAUUCGAAUAUGCAUGUAGAUUGAUGGGCGAUUUCUUAUGCAAGAACAGACCAUGCACCAUUGUGCCGACUAAGUAUCUAAGCAAUCUUUUAACACAAGACCAAUGUGUUGAUGUUGGAUGGUGCAUAAAUUGAGAUAAUUUAUUCAUCAAGAAGGUGAUGUCAGGGCUAGUAAGAGAGAAGUAUUGAAGGCUUCCAACAAUUGACAUAUAUUUAGUGGGACCAGGAAAAGAGGUGUCAUCACACAGAUUUGGAACAUUGUUGAGGAACAUCAAUGAUUGAACUGGUUUGGUAGCCACCAUUUGUGUUUUCUUAAGAAGCUCUCGAAUGUACUUGAGAUAAAAAUAAUCCUUUGGAAGUAUGUAUCAUUUCAACACCAAGAAUAAAAGAUGAAGUCCUGAGAUCCUUAAUGGAGAAUUUGACUGCUAAUUGAGAGAUCACGCGAGCACGAAAAACAUUAUUGUUACUUGUUAAAAUAAGAUCAUCAAUAUAAAUAAGUAGGUAAACAAUGAGACCACUCUUUUUAAAAAUGAAGAGGGAUGUCUCGGUUUAGGAGUUGACGAAGGCUAUUGAGAGGAGAAAUUGGCAAAGUUCAUGAUACCAUGAUCGUGGAGCUUGUUUAAAGCCAUAAAAAGCCUUACAAAGUUGGCAAAUGUGAUGAUGUGUGUAUUCGUGAACCCAGGAGGUUGAAUCAUGUAAACAUCUUCAUGAAGUGUCCUAUGCUAGAAUGCAUUAUUAAUGUCCAAUUCAUGAGUUGAUAGGAGUCUGCUCAAUACAAUGUGGGAGUGUGAUUUCAAAAUUAGGGUAAUUUCGAAAUGGAUUUUGUAUUCACAAGUUGAAUUUCAAAAUUAUUUUGAAAUGGUCUUUUAACUUUAAGCAGUUGUGUUCAAAAGGUCAUAACUUCUUCGUUUCAAUUUUGAUUUACACAUUGUUUAAAACAUUGGACUCUUUACUUCCCGAGCUUCAAAACGAUAUAUAGUAUGCUCAAAAAUGACAUCAGGAUUGGUUCAAAUUUCAUCUUGAUAUUAGAGUACAUGUUGUGAUUAGAUUUUGAGUUCCAAAUUUCCAUGUAAACUUGAUUGCAUUUGCUUCAAACCUCCUUCAUUAUGGUUGCUUGCCCUCUAUCUCACUUUGCAACAUUUGUUACUAGUAUUUUAUGUCCAUGACUUACUCAUUUCAACCUUUCUUGGAUUCUUCAUGGUUCACAAAUUAUGGAUUCUUCAUGGUUCACAAAUUGAGUCUUUCAAUUAUGCAUGUUUAACUCCUAUUUCCUUGGUUGAUAAUGACUUUUACACUUAUCAUUUUCUUUUAUUCUUUAAACCUGAAUUUAGACUUACAAAAAAAAGUUAGAUCCAUAACUAGGGUCUUAGCAUCAAUUUGAGUUAAGUUGGAUGAUUUGAAAAUUUUAUAUUACAUAAAUCAUAUCAUACAUGUGCCAUUGGAGUGCACAUUUUGGCUCUAAUCAUGUUCCAACCCAUUGUUUUACUCUUGCAUGAAGUAUGUGGCCAUUGAUUUUAAUUUUAUUUGCGAUUAGGUUCAAAAUGGUGCUUUUGUGUUGCUCAUGUGUCAUCAGAAGAUCAACUAAUGGAUUCUCUAACAAAACUACUACAUCAUAGUCAUUUUUUUUUUUCUUAAGACCAAGAUUGAGAUCUCCAAUCGGAGCCAACUCCAUCUUGGGGGCAUGUUAGUGAAAGAUAAAAUUUAUCUUUAAUUUAAAUAUUAAUAUUUAUCAGUUAUUAGUUUUAAUUAGAGUAAAAGAUAGAGUUUAAAUUGGAGUAGGAGAUAAACUUGUGUUUGAACUAGAAUAGAAGAUAAAGUAUAAAGAUUUAUGUUUGAAUUAGAAUAAAAUAUAAAGUUUGAAUUAGAGUAGAAGAUAAACUUGUUCUUUAUUUGUAUAUAAAUAUUCAUCAAUUCUUGAGAAGAAGAUUAUUUCAUAGUUUUUCUAUCUUCUUUUUUCUUCAUACAUAUCUGCAAGAAAUUGAAGAUUUCAAGUAAAAUAUUUUCUGUUUUAAAUAGUGAAAAAAGCUAGAAAUUCACUUUGUUAUCUCUUGGGGUAAAUUGACAAGGUUUAACGUUAAGAAGGUGAAUUAUUUUUUCAGAAAAACUGAAGUAGCUAGGAUAUCUGGCCAGUUGUGAUCGAUAAAAAAGUUGUAAAAUCUCUCAUAUACUAAACAGGUUUUGGAUGUUGGUAUGGUAAAUCCAUCUGCAGUCAUUCGUCAUCUCAUCUAGUGAGAUGUUUGGGAGGUGGUGACCGCCGGAUUGGGUUUCAUUUGGUUAAAUCUGUCAGUGGGUUGGCUACUACCCGAGCCUCUUGCUUUGGGGGAGGUGGGUUCUAGAUAUAAUGUUCAAACCAUUUUAGUUAUCAUAUGCAUGACAUGUAAGCAUAAUCUCUUUAUCACUUCUUCAAUGGGAGUUCAUGGUUAGGAAUUGACUUCUUUUCUUCUGGGAUGCUUGGCAUGUAAUGGACAAAGUUACUUUUAUAUCGAUCGAAUUUCUAGUAUUAUAGUGAAGACUUACCCUUUUGACAUUUUAUAUCGAAUUAUAGAAGAUGAAAGGGACAUACAUGCAAUCGACUGACGCUUUAGUGAAUAUGCUGAAAAUAUGCUGAUGCUGUGGAGAUCGUAUGAGGACAGAGGAAAAAGAUAGAAAUGGAUAUAUAAUUAGACCUAGGUUUUUAUUAAAUGAGAUGGGGAACAUAGAGUGAGGGAAAAUCAAAAUUUUUGGCUGCAGUUCACAUUGGUGAUAUUUUGGAUUGACAAAGACUAACGACUUUUCUAUUUUUCUUUUCGGCCUGACUGGAUAGUUGGACAUGGACAAUACAGAAUCCACAGAAGGAUUGUUGGGACCGCUGAAAAUUAGCUAGAAGAAGCUGAGGAAGUAGUCUACGUAGUCAAAUACCAAACACAAAGAAAGAAAGAAAUGGAUAUCAUGGAUGCCUAGAGUUAUACUCCUAAUACCGUCACAGGUAUUUUUCUUUCCUCCUUUUUUUUUCUACGAUAAUUAGAGCAUUUCUCCUCCUCCUCCUCCUCCUCCCCCCACCCCACCACCAAAAAAUAAAAAAAUAAAUUAUUGCAAGUAACACUUCAAAUAUUAAUUUAUACAUUCUAAAGUAUAUAUUCAUGAAAUAACUUGAGUAUCAUACAUUAGUUCUCAAAAAAAAAAAAAAAAAAAAAAAAAAAUUACUGGAAGAGAAAAGUUUAAGAAAACAUAAAAAUAUUCAACUACUAUUUUAAAGAGAAAAUUUAAUUUUUACACUAUAAAUUUGAAGAGAACUUUUACAUGCAUCUUAUAUAAACUACCAUUUUUUGCUAAAAGGCUUAAAUUUGUCAAAAAUACCCCUUAGGUGCUUAACGUUCUGGUCAUAAUAUAAUUGGCAUCUUUUCUCAAACAUAAGGCCUGUGUGUGGGAACAAGAUUUAAUGUUAAUGAGCUUCGCCACCGACAUUUAGUUCCAGAAAUCAUUAUUUUAAUAGAGUGGGCUCAAUUUACAACUUUAAUUAAACUCUAACCAACUGCAUUGUGAAAUGAAUAUGUUUCUUUCGUGGUGAAUCCAAUGAGUUGGGAGUCAAACUUUGCUUCAUUGUGUAUAGAUGAAAUGUUAAGACUCCAUGUAACCUCAAACAUUUCCGCAAUNNNNNNNNNNNNNNNNNNNNNNNNNNNNNNNNNNNNNNNNNNNNNNNNNNNNNNNNNNNNNNNNNNNNNNNNNNNNNNNNNNNNNNNNNNNNNNNNNNNNUUCUUUCGUGGUGAAUCCAAUGAGUUGGAGUCAAACUUGCUUCAUUGUGUAUAGAUGAAAUGUUAAGACUCCAUGUAACUCAAACAUUUCCGCAAUGAGCGGGAGUUCUAAAUUUAAUAAUUGAAAUUGUCAGUGGAACCAGUGGACAAGAGUUGGUUUGUGGUUGACAAACUUAUCCGUUUGAUCUUUACUUGAACAGUUCCAGUGUGUGGAUGGGUACUGAUGAAGUGUGCGCAUUUAUUUUGAGAAGCCUGCUUGUUCGCAUAGAUUUUAACGACAUGAACAUUGUGGUAAGGUUAGAGAGUAAUGCGAAUGUAGGAGCUUAUAUUAGAAAUGACACAAACACGUAAAUAGAAGUAAUCUAUAUAUGAUAUUACUCAUGGACUACAAGCAAAGAAGUACAAUACAUGGAGUAAGUGAUGAAAUGAGCAUUCCUCACUACUACUGCUUGACUGAUGGAACAUGAUGCACGAGAUAGCAUAAGUAGUAGUAGGAAGCAGCUCUUAUUUGUGGCGUCGGUAUACAUCAUACUAGGUAGAUGGUUCAAUUGGCAUGGAUGGGUGGUGGAGCCUUGAAGUGCUUGUGAUGGGGAGCCCACGGCUUCUUCUCAGGAGUUGGUGGCUUCUUGUAUGGAGUUGAUGGAGGUGUUUCUACUGGAGGGUGGCCAGGGUAGUGACCCUGGGGUGGUGAAGGUUCUUUUGUCGGUGGUGGCCUCACUAUUAUUGGCGGUAGAGUUGGUGGCUUGGGCGUUGGCGGUGGUCUCACUACUCUUGGGGGUAGAGUUGGUGUCUUGUGUUUUGGUGGUGGAGGUGGCUUAACAGGAGUUGGUGGCUUGUAUUCUGGGGGUGGUUUCUCCACCGGAGGUGGCUUAUAAACUGGAGUUGGUGGCUUGUAUUCUGGGGGUGGCUUCUCCACUGGUGGUGGCCUGUAAACAGGGGUUGGUGGCUUAUAUUCUGGGGGAGGCUUCUCCACUGGAGGCGACUUAUAAACAGGGGUUGGUGGCUUGUAUUCCGGGGGUGGCUUCUCUACGGGAGGUGGCCUGUAAACAGGGGUUGGUGGCUUCUCCACCGGAGGUGGCUUAUAAACGGGGGUUGGUGGCUUGUAUUCUGGGGGUGGUUUCCCCAGUGGUGGAGACUUGUAAACAGGAAGAGGUGGUUUGUGCUCAUAUGGGGGUGGCUUGUGGUCAUUAGCAAGUGAGGGAGUGGUGAGGACCACCAAUCCAAGGAACAACACGAGUGAGCAAGCAGAAGACAUGUUUGGGCUCUGGUGAUGCACAAGUAGAAGAAAUGGGAACCAUUUAUAAUGCUUCGAGACCUUGGUUAGCACCAAAAUAUGUCAAAAUCUUGAUUACUUCAUUUCAUACAUAGAUUUAAAAUUAUUUCAAUCAACCAUGAUCCUUAAUUUUCUGGGUGGUCCAUAAAUGUAAUGGGGUCAAUUUGGGACCUAACAAGCUGAGAAGUUUGACAAUGCUGCAAGGCUUCAUCCGAAAGUCCGGGGAAGAAUAUUAGGAGUUACACUCCGUUUCCUUUUUUGGGUGCAUUUUUCUCCUUUAACAUUCUAUUCCCUUUUACAUUAGCAUUUGAUCUUAGCUCAUUUCAAGUACAAGUUUCUUGAACCCUAUACCAUUGUCAAAGUUGAGUAACCAUCUCUACUUUGCUCAAGAAACAUAAAAGACAAUGACAAUAAAGAAAAAGGAGAGAGACCAUACGUGACUUGGUUUAUAGGUGGCUUUGUGUUGACAUUUGAGUAUGGAAGCCGACAUGCAUCUUAGCUUCGAUUUUAAUUAAAUUUGUACAUUAGUGUCUGUGUCAUUCAUUUUGGUAUAAAAGGUCUCUUGAUUUCGUAAGUUUGGUAAGAACCGUUGAAAAUAGCAGUAGCAGCACAUGGUCCACUUUCUUUCACAAAAUAAUUUUAAAAGUUUAGAAGCAUAGGAGGUAACAUUAGUGGCCUUGUGGCUCAGCCACGAGUACUAUGUGGUGCUCGAGAAAUUGAGUUUAAUUUCCUUCCGAUAGUUCAUGAUAAGGUCCGUCACUGUCCUGAGACAGAUUGCGUUUUUUCUUUUUUCCUUUUUUAGUGUUUUAUUGACUAGCUAGGUGUGACUUUUCCUACUUUAAGGCACGAGGCAGAAAAGAAACUGGGAUUUAGUGCUUAAGAAGGCAAAUUUAAUUCGAUUUGGAUCUAAAAUUUGCCAGCAACAUGAGAUUUUCCAGCCUAUCGUUGCUCCACAUAUAGACAAGGCACUUGUAGAAGUGGCUUGUUUGUAGCCAUUCCCGAUAUUUGGACUCACUUGAUUCACCGGACACUUUGAUAAAAUUUAAUAUUUAUUAUUUAAUAAUUUAAAUUGAUUUAAAAUUAAAUUAUACCGAAGUUGUGAUUUAAAAAUUAUUAUUUAAUUCUUACUUUUAAAUAUGAAGAUUAUUUGAUAAAAAUAAUUUAAAAUUUAUUAUAAAUUAUCAAAUUAACAUAUUUAUCCUUAUAAAUUAUAAUUAAAACAGAAAAGGUCAAAUGAUUUGAGUAUCCAUAGAUGUGGUAAAAUAAUAAAAAAGAUUAUAAAAACAAUUAUGAUAAAUAAAGAUAAAAAGUAAAAUGAAUAUGUGAAUUUAAAGAAUAAAUUAAUUAUUUUUAUUUAUUACUUAAAAUUAUUUUUGACUUUAAAUUAUAUUAUUAAAUUAUUUUACCAAACAUACUUAAUUUAGUUAAUAAUUUAAAUUUAAUUUAAGUUAUUAAAUUGAUUCACCAAAUACCCACUUAAUCAAAGACUGAAGUAUACAUUAUUUGGCCAAAUGCAGCUAUUGAAAUUUAACUUUUUCCAAACUUAUUCAUUUUGUGGAAAUAUUUUUAGAAAUGAUUUUAAAAAUGCACUAUUCUGUGUGUUGAUUUUAUAUUUUGGCAUUAAUCCAACAUAGAAAACGGUUCUUAUUUUCGCUGUUAAAUAGGUACCAGAUCCUUAAUUAGUGCCGUGAAUCCGGCAGCUUCCAAUGAGUAAUUUGGACUUGGGUAUUGACAAUGUGUGGCCAUGCUUCUACUAUUUUAUUAUUCUUGAAACAUAUAUGAUAUAUUGGACUUUAUACAGGGAAAAAAAAAAAAAAAAGUCUUCACCAAAAAUGAUUCCUCCUAAAAAAUAGACUCCACAAACUAGGUUUAACAGGAAAAUGAUUCUAAUCUAGUAGUUUCCAGCCACAUGAGCAUUUACGUAACAAUAGUAUAGUUGAUAACGACUUUUAUUUUAUUUAUUUUUAAAUAGUUAAAGGGAUAAUUUUUGAGCUUAAAUUUUAUUUUUUUAUUUAGAAACAUUUUACUUUAUUUUUUAAUCAUAAUUCUAUUAUAUUAAUGUUUUAUUUUCUAUUUUUUAAUAUAUAAGGAGAUACUAAAUUUAUGUGAUUAUUUUUUAAAAAUUUAGUAUAUGAAAUUAAAUAAUUGGAUAUAUAUACAUAUAUCAUAUAAUGUUUUUUAAGUGUGAUUUUUGAACUUUUUAGUCAUUUUAUAAGUUUAAGCUUUUGAUUUUUUUUUUUAAACUUUGGUAUUUUUUAUUUUAUAUAAAACUAUUUUGAUUUAAUUUUAUUAAAAAAUAUUGGUAUUAUAAAUUAUUGUAUUAAUUAUUUUUUUAUAUUAUAAUGUAACUGGUAUAUACUAAAAAAUGUAUGCAAGUUCAAUUUAAGUUUCAAAUUAAAAAAUUUCAUUUAAAUAUUUAAUAACUUGUUCAUAAUAAAAAAUUAAACAACAUAAUACAAAUGAAAAGAAACAUAAAAGAAAAAGGAAAAAAUGGUCCUCUCUGUGUGUCACAUUACUAGGUCAUCCUCUUUUUCUAUGACCCUUACAAUAGAAUGGCAUAUUUGUCAAAUCUACUUAUGAAAGUUGGAAUGUUUCUACAUGUGUAGGGUCCAUUGGAACUAAUGGAGGAAAGGCUUAACGUCUAUGUAAAUCACAACGUUGCCUAGGUGGGCAUAGAUCUAGUUGUGUAACAUGAGAUGGUGUGAGAGUACAAUAUAUGCAUUGUAGUCUCUAUGGGAAGAGAGAUAGGUAAUGGUAGGGUGGUAGACGGUAGGGUGAUCUCUAAUAUAAUGACAUUUGAUGUGGUGGCUUCUAAGAGAGGAGAUAUAAGAGAUGGUAGAAUGACAUUUGGUGUAAUGGUCUCUAGUGCAAUGACAUGUGAUAUGGUGACCUAUAAAGAAGAGAUAUAGGUGAUGGUGAAGUGGUAUGUGGUGUAGUGACCUUUGAGAUAGAAAAUAGAGGUAAUGGUAGGUUGGCAGGUGGAGUGGUCUUUGGUGUAGUGACAUCAAUUAUAAAUGUCUCCAAGGGAGGAAAUAAAGGUGAUGGUAGGUAGUAAAUGUUGAGGUGGUCUUUGAUAUGUUAUGCUCUAAGAGAGAAGGUAUAGGUAAUGAUAAUAGGGAAUUUGACAUAGUGGUGUUGGAAAUAAAAAGUGAAAGUGACCGUAGAGGUGAAAGGGCAAGUGUAAAAGCCUCAAGUACGAAUGGAGUAAUUAAUGUGGAUGGUGCUAACAUAGUCUUAGGUGGAUACACAAAUAGUCAUAGUCAUCAACUAGCUUGCCCACCAUCUGUCUUUCUGCUAGUGAUAGGUUACAUCUUAAUAGUAAUGGCCAACAUAAGUGGUGUGGAUCCGAUUUUUUUACGUGUGUCCCCACUCAAUCGACAAGACUUAUUUUUUAUUAGUGAAAAAUUAAUUUUGGAAAAGUUGGAGUCACCACUUAUUUUAUUUUAUUUUAAAAAGGAAAGUAAAACAAGAAAGAGAACUCUAAAGAAGUGACUUCAUAGUUUUGGAAAAGUUAGUCUUAAAAAAUCCAAGUCUUGGUCCGGAGAUCAGGUUACUUAUUGGGAAGAUACCUCUAAGAGGUAAUACCCCUCUAAACCCUAAAGAAGUCUCUAAUGACUAAGUUGAGGAGAAUGUGGUAAUUAAUUAAUUGAUUGAGGGUACCUAGGUAGACUAAGGUGAUUUCAGAAUUAACAUACCAAGCUAGAAAGUCCAAUCAUGAUCAUAAAAGAGAGUCAAAGUAUGUACCUGAACUGCUUCUCAAACGCUAUCAUAAAACAUCAAAGUUAGUAUAGAAAUAUAACACAUAAUAUUUGUUUUAUCCAAGCAAAUAAAGCAUACAUCUAAGCACCCAAGAAUCACAUCAAGUAUGGAUAUAGUCAUCAAUAGCAUACGUGUCCAUAGAACUAUCGAAAGUAAAUGUGGAGGAGCGUAUCUGGACAACAUAGAUAACUUAUAAUGUGCUUCCACAAGACAUGGGGGUUAGAUAAAAGUUAUAAUAAUAAUUAGUAAAUGAAAGAAUUCUAGCAUGUUUGGUAUCUAAAUAACAUAGCAAAAAUGAACAAGAGUACACGAAAACAUCAAUUAUCACACGAGUCAUAUUGGCUAGUAUUUAAUCAAUAAACCAACAAUAAAUGACUAUAAACAUAUAAAAUGACAUAUUCAAAGAGACCCAAACAUAAAGAGCCUAGAACACAAGCUUACACUAAAUUUAGAAAACUAAAACAUGGAAUUUUAAAAGCAUAAAUUAGCAAACAAAUUGAUGGAAACUAAAUUUAGAUAACUUAAGAAUAUUUUUCUUAUCCUUCAAUUUAAAUCAGUAAGCCAACAAUAAAAAAUUAUAGAAACAUGGAAUAUCAAGAUCAAUGGGAUACCUAAACUAUAAUUUUUAAAAGAAAAUAAACUAAGCAUAAUAUCUACAAAGCAACUAAACUAACAUUUUUUUAAAAAUAAAUUAAACAUGACAUUAAUGGAGUAACCAAACUAAAUUAAAGUAAACUAAAAACAUUUAUGAAUUUUCAAACAUGGAAUCAGCUUUCUUAGUAAAUUAAAAUUAUUAAAAUAAAAUCUAAGCUUAAAAAUGAAUUAAAUACUAACUAAAGCAAAUCUAAAACCAAAUAUUUAACACAUAGGAUCAAUUAUAUUAACAAACUAAAAUUUUAUAAGAACACUUAAACCUAAAGUUGAAUUAAAAACUAACCAAUUUUUAAAACUAGAUCUUUAACCCAUAGGAUCAAUUAUAUUAACAAAUAAAUAAUAAAUAAUAAAUAAAUAAAACUCAAACCUAAAGAUGAACUAGAAAUGUACCAAAGUAAAUUCAAAACAAGAUCUUUAACACAUUAGAUCAAUUAUAUUGACUAACUAAAAAAAAAAAAAAAAAACACUCAAACCUGAAACGAUGUAUUAGAAACUAACCAAAGCAAAUUUAAAAUAGAGUCUUUAACACAUAGGAUCAAUUAUAAUCACUAACUUAAAUUACAAUUUUUGAAACAUGAACUAAUUAGUGUUGGAUUAAUUAAACUAAUUAACUAAAAAAAACUAUAAACUAGAAUACGGUGAAUCAAGAAUUCAAAUCAACAAACAUAAAAUAUGGGUACAAUGAAAUGAAAAUCUAUUAAACUAAUAAGACGGAAAUAUGACAAACUCAUGAACCCACAUUUUGAUCAACUAGGAAAUAGAAAUUAAUAGACCUGUAGCAUGGAUACAAUGAAAUGAGAUCAGUUAAAUUUAUUUGCCGAAAUUCUAAAAAACACAUACACUCAAAUAAGAUCUAAAUCUAAGACCAAGCAAAACUCAAACUUUCUCAAUCUAAUGCAAUGAAUCAAAACUAAAAUUAAAUAGAAAUCAAACCAUUUUUUUUUUAUCUAAUAUAAUAAAUCAAAGCUAAAACUAAACAAAAUCGAAUUUUCUUAAUUUAAUAUGAUGAGUCAAAGCUAAAAUUGAACAAAGUUCAAACCUUUAUAUAAUGGAUCAAAGUUAAAUCUAAAUGAAAUCCAUACUUCCACAAUUUGAUAUAACAAAUCAAAAAUAAAACUAGAUAAAAAAAAAGUCAAAGCCUUUCAACUUGACAUAGUGAAUCCAAACUGAAACGAAACAAAAUUUUAACUUUUCCAAUGAAACCCAAUAUAGAAAAAAUUAGCUUACCUUCUUUAGAAUAUAUGUAUGGGCCAUAAAGAAGUCACCUUGGUGCAUGUGUUCCUCACUUUGACGCCAAUGGACGACUUUCUAUGGUAGCAAAUGGAGAUCCUUUUUGGUGGUAACUUGCGUGUGGAAACCUAUGGUACAACCAAUGUCAUCUUUUAUUGUGCGUGUGGACCAAUUUCUUCUCGAGAACUCAUGUGUGUUGUGCUCAAAAUAUGUUGCCUGUGAGAAUCUAUUGGUAUACCCCACAUAUGGUUUCCUUGAGAGAAUCUGUGGUUGUGUGUGGGCGUUUUCUUCAUGACAGCAUGUGGAUGUUCCCAUCUAUGGUAGAUUGGUUGUGAUGCUUUAGUGCAUGGUCUCCAUAGGAAUAGUGUGUUAUGGAAAUUUGGUUUUUUUAUUGGUGCAUGUUGUCUAGACUUUCCCAUAUGCGUGGACUGUGUGUUCAUGCUUUUCUUUUCGGAUGGUCGCCUGUGUUAAUGUGUGGCGGUGUCUACAAUGAAAGAUACAACCCUUUCUCUCCUUCUGCGUGAUAGAAAAGUCAAUCCCCCAUGGUGCGACUAUGUUCCCUCGUCCUUUUUGAAAAAUUUUGGUGUUUUCCCCCCAAAAAAUCCCCUCCAAAAAUCUAAUUAUAAAUGUCUGCUUUGGCCUAAUGUGUGUGCUACUUUUUUUUUCCUUCUUUUUAUGGUUGUGCGUGCUUUUCUUGAUACGUGGCUUAUUUCUUAAGGAUAUGAUUCGCUCCCAAUUGGUGUCUCAGCUGAUUCAUGUCCUUUCAAUGGUCCCUGACAGUGGUGCCAUUUGAUUCGUGUCCAGCUGGUGUCCCUUGAUUGUGGUCCUCAGAAGGGAGUAAUCAAUAAAAUUUAUAACCUAUUACACCAUGUAUUAGGAUAGCCUUAGCUAGCAUAGCAUAGUGGCUCUAGGGUCGUUUAUUGGGAUGAGUUUUCACUUCACAAUUGAUAUUAAUUCAAGAGCUGAAUUGGUGCCUUUUCAUUUCAAGGUUAGCUUUAAAAGAAAACAUAAUCUUUGGUGGAAAAAGGUUUGGUUUUAAACUAACCAAAAAUAGUAACUGAUUUUACUUACAAAGAAAAGUGUUCUUUGGAGUUUAGAUCACUAGGCUCAGGUUCCUCAUACAAAAAGGAGAGUUCCGAUCAUUUGUUUCUUUUCCUCGCAUUAGAGAAUUAACAUAUAGUUAAUUCUCUAACCGGUGCGGUACAUAUGCUUCCCAUUAAUGGGUUCAAACACUAAAUACCUCUCACUGAUGCACCUUGCAAUGGCUCGUGCCUCUCACCUAGCAUUUAUCAUUCAAGGUGAUCUUUAACCUUGGAUUACCCAUCAAAAGCUCGCAAGAGAUAACUAAAGGAUGUCUCCUUAGAGUCCAAAAGCUUACCAAGUGUUGGUUAUUCUAGAAAAUCCUACCUUCAAACCACCUCCCAAAGGCUCGCAAGAGAUAAACAAGUGCAUCUCAAUGGAUGAAGAUCACUUGCCUUACCAAGUUUUGGCCCAGAUGAUUUAAUGACAUUUUAAGUUAACUAAAAAGAUAAAAACCAUUAACGGGUCACACUUUCUCUUCAUUAAAAACUAAAACAACAAAACUUCCAAUUUAUGCAUGAGGAAACUUACCUGGCUUUCUUCACUUCAAGAGAUGAAGAGCCUAGCCACUCAUCAUUUGAGGAAAAAUCCUCAGAGUUUGAUUUGCUAGAAAUAAAAAUAAUGAGAAAACAAAAAUAUAUAUAUGAAAAACAGAGCAAGUUCUCUGUAAUAUAUUUUUCUUCCUUAUACAAAAGGUUGUCUCUAAGAACAAGUUCCCGAGAUCUAUCUGAUUGUAAAUAAAAUUACAACUAUAUAUAAGAGGUUAUUCACCCCUUUGUUCUUUCUUAAAGACUAAGGAAUCCUAUGAUAGGUGGGUUACAAGGAGAGUUUGGGGAUUUAGACAUCAAAUAUCUAAAGCAAAAUAUCUCAAGAUGUUAGUCGGAAAUAUCAGGAAGCUUCAGGAGAACACCGCGACACUGUAUACUGAGAGAAAAACUCUCCGGGUAAGCUCUAUCAAAGGAUCCAGACAUGUCUGACUGGGAAAGUUGAAACGUCCUUCUCUCCCAUCCGGAUGUGAGAUAUCCGGAGAAAGUGAAAUGUCGGUCGGACAGAAUUCUUUCCCCGGGUGGAAUGAGUUGUGUUGCGCGUCGCAAGGGGGACCGUCUGCGUGUACAAGUUGUAGGGACCCCUCUCCCGGAUGACACCGAGCGCGUAAGGCUAUCCGGAUCAACUCCAUUCGGAUUCCCCAAGAGGACAUGUGGCGUGCUCCCCUAUCAGGACUCCCUUAGGGAGAAGCACACGACACUCGUGAACAUCAUACCCGGACGAUAGCAUGUCCUAUCCGGAUGUGUUGUCCGGAUCAUUGACUAAAGUGAGCAAGCCUUGCUACGUCAUUCGGACAGCUUGCCACAUACCAUGUUCCGUCGCCAUCUGAUGGUGUGUCCGAACGCCUUGUCCGGACAUCUUUUGCUCCUUGCAUUCCGGAUUUGCUUAUGACAAAGGACUUCAAAGCUUCGGUUCUUCAUGUUUCUGAGCUUUCCAUUGCUUUGCCAUGGAUUCCAAAGAACUCUCCUUAAUCACGGAUUGCUUUGGUGAUCAAAAAGUUAUCAAAACACAAAAACUUAACAUAGUUUGAUUAGAAUUGAUUGCAAGGGUUCUUAAUAUGUUAAUUGGGUUAAAAGGUGAUAACUACUACUCAAAAGUGUUUAUAAGAAUUAAUUACAAGCUAUGAAAUAACACUUUUUGAGUAGUAAUCAGGAUACAUCCUAGUUUUUCAUGGAAUUGAUAGUGGGUUGUUGUGCAUGAAUGCCACCAUUUCAACUAUGCUGUUGUUAUUUUUAAAAAAAAUAUGGAUUAUGCGCGAGUGGCAAUUCUCCACUAUGGAAAGUGGAUUGCUCCUUCAACCCAUGCAUGGCUACGUAUUCCUAUGUCUUUCUACUUGUGUUUGAUCCUCCAAAAAAAAUUUCGGUUUAGUGCUAGUAGAUUUUAAGUGGUGGAUCCCCAUUUUUUGAAAAUGAAGUGGCAGCCUCCCAUUUCAAGACAAAAUGGUAGCCUGCCUUUAAUCUUUGGAGAAAAAUCUGUGCAUGACCUUUUUUUUUCCCAAAAAAUCCGUGCAUGGUGUCCUUUAAUAUUUGGAGAAAAAUCUAUGUUGGAUCUUUUCUUUUCUAGAAACAUUUGUGUGGUCUUUUUUGUUAGCCCAAGGGUUCUUCUAAUCAAGUUUUGAUGAUAACAAACCAUGGUUAAGUGACUAAUUGGUUUAAUGAUUAAGAAUCUCAAACAUAAAAUCGAAAAUUCAUCAAAGGACCAAAUGGAUACAAGAUCGAGACGCUUGGAAGACUUGUAAUCAUAGGAAACUAAUGUAAGAUGAAUGCAUGAGUGCACUUAGGAUUUUCACACGUUUCAUGCAACUUAGAAAACCCAGUUUAUUCUUUAAAACUUCAUCCCAGUUUAUUCUUUUUAUGGUUGUGUGUGCUUUCCUUGAUACGUGGCUUAUUUAUUAAGGAUACAUCCCAGUUUUUCAUGGAAUUGACAGUGGGUUGUUGUGUGUGAAUGCCACCAUUUCAACUGUGCUGUUGUUAUUUAAAAAAAAAAAAAAUGGAUUGUGCGCGAGUGGCAAUUCUCCACUAUGGAAAGUGGAUUGCUCCUUCAACCCAUGCAUGGCUACGUAUUCCUAUGUCUUUCUGCUUGUGUGUGAUCCUCCAAAAAAAAUUUUGGUUUAGUGCUAGUAGAUUUUAAGUGGUGGAUCCCCUUUUUUUGAAAACUAAGUGGCAGCCUCCCAUUUCAAAACGAAGUGGUAGCCUGCCUUUAGUCUUUGGAGAAAAAUCUGUGCAUGACUUUUUUUUUCCCAAAAAAUCCAUGCAUGGUGUCCUUUAAUAUUUGGAGAAAAAUCUAUGUGGGAUCUUUUAUUUUCUAGAAAAAUUUGUGUGGUCUUUUUUGUUAGCCCAAGGGUUCUCCUAAUCAGGUUUUGAUGAUAACAAAUCAUGGUUAAGUGACUAAUUGGUUUAAUGAUUAAGAAUCUCAAACAUAAACUCGAAAAUUCAUCAAAUGACCAAAUGGAUACAAGAUCGAGACGCUUGGAAGACUUGUGAUCAUAGGAAACUAAUGUAAGAUGAAUGCAUGAGUGCACUUAGGAUUUUCACACGUUUCAUGCAAUUUAGAAAACCCAGUUUAUUCUUUAAAACUUCAAUUUCAUUAAAACCCGAGUUUUUAACUAAUGUACCUUAGGCAAAAUGUUUUAUAAUUGGCUUAAUAAUUCACCUAAAUACAUUUUCUAAGUGUUAGAAAAGAAAGGAAUUAAAAAAAGGUUUUCGGGGCAAAAAAGGCUCAACCGGUCGAGGCUAUGGUCAACCGGCUCAACCGGUUGAGGAACCAAUCGAUCGGUUGUGCUUGUCCGAUCGAAGACCAAUCGAGGGAUGCCAAAAAAUUUCUCUCUCUCCUAGUGGCCUUCUCUUCCCGGUCGAGGUUCGGUCUAGGCAACGGUAACAUGUCAAGCAUUAAAUGCUCCGACGACUAGUGAAUCGGUCGACCCCUAGCCCGAUCGGACGAGGUUGCCUUUUGCUGUUUUUGACUCCCGAGCUUAGAAACCUAUAAAUUGAGAGCUCCACUUCAUUUAUUGAUAAAAGAGAACACUUGCAUUCAAUAGUCUACCUACCUUUUCUUGAUCAAAAAGCUCUCAUUUCCUUCAUAGUGCAUUAAAUCAUCACUUGCAUAUCCUUUAGUGCACUAUUGUGUGUCAUCCUAGCUUUGUUUUGUAUUUGAGCUAUCCUUAAGCUAGGUUGAGGGAUUAUUUCUUAUAAAAAUCUGAGUGUUAAAGCCUUCAAGAGAUUUGAAUCUUGAAGAGAUUGUGUAAGAGCCCAUUGGAGCCGGAGUCCAAGUGUAAGAAGAUUGGAAGCUUGGUUGAAGCUUCAAGUUAGUGGAACCCUCACUCGGUUAGGAGGUUGAGGAGAGUGGACGUAGGUAAGGAAGUGUCGAACCAUUAUAAACCCGAGUUUGAAUUCUCUAACUCUAUCUCUUUAUUUUGCUUAUAUUGUGUUUGAAUUUGUUGUGAUUGAAAAGAUUUUAAAAACCUAAUUCACCCUCCCCCCUUUUGGGUUUUUUUUUCUUAAUUAAGCAUAACCUUUGUUUUCUAAUUUUCUUUUUAGGAAAAUCCAUGCGUGGUAUGUCCAAACUCUCCAAGUGGCAGUCUGCCUUCUUCUAAAAAAUUUGUUUCUAUUUCUUUAUUCGACUACCUUCCAUGUCUUCCUAAUGAGUGCUUGUGCUCAAUGGUCAAUCCCUGGUGGUUGCCUCCUUUUCCCAUAUAUACGUGUUGCAAAAUCAACAUCCCACUAUAUGUGGGUUGCCUCUAUGGCAAGUUCACAUUUCCCACAUGAAACCUAUGAGUUUCCACCAAAAAUUGCCAUGAAAAAGUCUUUAUAUGCAUCUCAUGCAAUAAAAAGUCAAGCCAAUACUCAUCUUAUCUCGAAAAAUAAGUAACCAAAAUCAAGAUCAUGCCUAAGUGAACUAUGCCAAAAGAAGUGUCCAAGUGACCUAUUAUGAAAAAAGUGCCUAAGUGACCUAAGGUGAAUGUGUGUAAGCUGGAAGGUGUCUAGGAUGUUUAGGACAAUGCCUAAGCCUAAAAUAGGGUUGCCAAGGGUCACAAUGGGGUUAGAUAAAUCUCUCAAUCAGAGUCUCCAAGGUGGCUCAUAAAAGAUAAGCUACACGAGUAAUGAUGGGCCACCAGGGAAUUAUUGUAAAGCACCAAACGAACACAUAAUAGGACAUGUGUUAGAAUGAAAAAAUGGAGGGUUUACAAGUGGUCUCAUGGAUGAGCUUGAUAAUUUAAAUGACUCACAUAAUGAACGUAUGUGAUGUUUCUCUCCAAUAACAAGCAAAACAUCACUAGCAAUAUGAUGAAUGUCUCCUAAAUCACUUGAAGUAGUCCUAGCAAAUCAAUUAGAAAAAUCACACAUAUUGCUCUAAUGUAAUAUUAUAUACAUCUGUCAAUGAAUGGGAGAACUAAUGACACAACCAUCAUGUUGAUAUCUCGAACCCUCUAAUCUCAUAUGUAGGUGGGAUCACACUUAGAAACUCAUAACACAGUAAUGACCAAUCUAAGUCAAAAUGUGUUGGUGAUCGGAGGCCCAUGAAUAUGAAGUUCUAGGAUGAUAAUGACAUCUUAUAAAGUAAUGAUCAUCUCCUUAAUAGAUAGGUGAAAUGUGUGUGUCUUAGGACACCAUCUCUCAACAAGACUUGUGAUCAAUCCCCAGUCUAGUGUAACAUGCCUAUUAUGACAUCCAUCGUAAAAUCUAGACUAGAUAAUAUAAGGACAAAUGUGAGGGUUCAUCUCCCUUUCCCACAUAAAUUUAAAAAAUUAUUAUUGACAAGUUAAGACCAAACUAAGUUGCAAAAUAUAAAUAAGUCCAUUAGAUAACAAAUUUAUGUUUUCUCAUUUUCUCAUUUUUAAAGAGAUAUUAUGUGCUUCCAUGUACAUACAUGCUAAAGUCAAUUAUACGAGACUUAUAUCCAUCUUGUAGAACCAAAUCGAACCUAUCUAAUAGAUCCAGAUUAGAAGUAUGUCCUCUAUACUCCAUAUUUAUAACACAUUUAUAAAGAUAAAUGCUAAAAAAAUGUUAAAGAUAUAAAUUUAAUGAACCAUACUUUAUGAUUUUAAUUCUCAAUUAUUGUUCAUAUUUAUAAGAGAAAAGUUAAAAAAAUUGAUAGAGUUUUCCCUCUAUCAUGGACAUUAUCCCAAAUAAAAAUAAAUUGAUUAUGCAAAUUACAUUAAUAUUUGUAACCAAAUGAUCAAUAACUAUCUUGUAUCAAUUUAGUAAAUAAAUUUAAGUAUAUCUUUUCAUUUAUGACUAACAAAUAACUCAUACUUGUCCAAUAAAAGCCACACCUAAUUUCUAAAAUUUUGUCUUCACCUCAAGUGAGUGUUACAUUGAGAAAGAAAAAAUAUGAAAGAAAAAAUGAACACCUUUUUCUUUUAAUAAAAAAAGGCCAUAACGAAACAUUAAAUCUCACUGUUACACCUAUCUUCAAUGGAAACAUGAGGAUGUGAAUGGUGGCGGUGAUAUUCUUUGCUUGAAGCUCAUAAACAAAUAUUCCUUACUAAGCCUAUGCCAUUUAGUAUUUCAAUAGUGGACCCCCCCCCCCCCCCCCCCCCCCUCCUUGCAUUUCAGAUUUAGCAAACUUAGAACCAAAUAACAAAGUGCAUUUGAACCCAUAAAGAAGUAAUGAGACUCUCCUAUAUUGGCAAUAGAAGAAAUUUUUGGAGGUAUAGGAGAUUCACGGAUGAAGAAGUUGGGCCCCAAUUGAGAUAAGACCCAAGAAAAGAUGGGGUAGAGAGGGAUGGUUGGAAAUUGUAAAGUAAGAUUUUCAAAAUGUAGUUGAUGACUAAGAUUUUGACAAUUUAAAAAAGGUUUAAAAAUGUAGUUAGCAAUCGGGGUUUUGUAACAUUUAAAAAAUAAAAUAAAAUCUCAGGCCACAUGGUAGCCCAUGUGAUUCAGAAGCUUGAGAAUUAUUUUAUAAGAAGACUUAAUUUGUGAUUUUUUUAUAACUAUAUUAUUUUUUUUCUUAACACACGAAAAAAAUUAUGAAAUAAGACAAUUUUCCUAAGAAAGCAUGUAAGUGACUCUUGGUUAUUUUAUUUAACUUCUUCUAGUUUGGAGAGGAUUAAUACCUUUGCUUUUACUCACUUGCUUGGAUAUGUACACGUUGUUCAUGUCACUUUUCAUUUAAUUUUCUGAUUAAGGGAAUUGGAACCGUACGUAACUGUCUUUAUUCCCUCUGAAACUUGGACUUGGAGUUGGACUUUCAAUCUCAUCAGUCGUGUUUCCAUAAAAAAGAAGAUGGAUUAACCAAUUUUCCUAUGCCUACUAAUCAUACACAAAACUCCACUUCCAAAUAAAAAGGAAUGGGAUAUCACUUGUUAAUAGUGGCUAAAGACUAUUAAUAACCAUGCAAAGAAAUGUCACAUUUUUUGUUCUACGCAAAUUUUAUUCAUCAACUACUAGAACCAUUUCAUACAAUAGUAGCUUUUCGAUCCUUUGAUAAAUGGACACUUGAUGUGAUAACACCAACUACACCUAUAUAUUCAAGCAAUCAUGCGUAUAUAAUAGUGGAUAUGGAUUACUUCUCUAAAUGGGCAAAAGUUUUGUCAUUCAAGGAAAGUGAACGAGGAAACACAAGUUUACUUUCAUCGGAACUAAUAUUAUAUAUUGAUAUGACUUCCCAUUAUUACUUACGAUGGAAUAUGCUUCCAUAAAAUGGCCUAGAUGAACAAACUAUCCAAGAAGUUUGGGAUCAAAUAAUAUAUAUAUAGUUCAUGUGUGAUUCUUUGGUUGACAACCUUGUUAAGGGGUGAGUGAAGCACUUUGGGCAUACCACAUACUACAUGCUAGACUUCCACCCAAGCUACCCUAUAUUCCUUAUGAACAAAGUAGAAGUUGUCAUCUCUCUUGAAUACCAAAUCCUUUCACCUAAUAAUGCUAUCUAAAAAGGUCUUAAAAAGGAUAAAAAUGCGCAUAUUUGAAUUUUUGAAUUAGGAGUGCUACUUAAAAAGAAGCUAGAUAUACAAUAAUAGAAUGUUAUCAAGCAUAUCUCUUCAAAGUUUUUGACCAAAAAAUAUAUGAUUUCUCAUUUUAGGUAGGAGACUUAGUACUCACUAUUCAAAAACCAAUUAUCAUUACUCAUAAAAACUAAUAGAAAGUUUGGGCCAAAGUAGGAUGGACCUUAUAUUAUGCAACAAUUAUGCCUAUAAAAUUGUUGCAAAAGAGGUUUUAGAAUCAAAUCAAUGAAUGAAAAAUUAUUAAAGCAUUACUAUGCUUGAAGGCUAGUCAUUUUCCCUUAAAGUGCAAUAUUAAGUUGCAUAGUACUAUGUGGAUCCGCAUUUUUCACAUGCGUUCCCACUCAUUGUCGAGACUCACUUUUUAGAAGUGAAAAAUUAGUUUUAUUAAAGUCGAAGUUGCCACUGGGGAUUUGAACCCUAACAAAAGGUUCAAUUUAAGGAUAAAAAUAUCGAUAAUCACAUAUAUAUAUAUUGGUACUUUGAUUUUAUGAAUAUAUUGAAGAAAUAUGGACAAAUAUUUUGACACAAAAUAUGUACAAAAUAAAAAUUAUAUAAAAAGUAAAAAUAAAUAUUUUAAAAUUAUUUUUUUAAAUAUAUAUAUAUAUAAUUUGACAUAUUUGAUAAUAAUAUAUAAGGGUCUCCAAAAAGCCCGUGGCCCGCUUUAGGCCCGGUCCGACCCGACAGGCUAAAGCCCGGCCCAAGCCCGCCGGGCCCAAGCUCGGCCCGAGCCCGUUUAUGGGUGGGCCGGGCCGCGAGCCCGUAGGCCUGCUCCUUUAAAAAAAAACUACAAAAAUAAAAAGUAUUAAAAAAAAUAUUCAUUUCAAAAUUUUAUUCAUUGAAUGUAUAAUUACAUUUGAAAAUGUGGGAAAAGUUUACAUCACUACAAAAUAAAUACAUCCCAACUAGGUUGGCACCUAUUUAUUUGUCAAUCAUCUGUAUUUUUCAACCACAAAAAAUAAAAAUAAAAAUAUAAUAUACAUUUAGUCAUUAUUUUCUGGCGGUGAUGGCGAACUAUCAUGCAUCCAUGAAGAUCUUGAUAAUUUUAAAGAUUCCAUAUCGGUAAGCAUCUUUGUUUCUCGAAUGGAAUCAUACAUCCUUUUAUCUGCUAUUUCCCAAUCUUUCACACAUAUCCCUGCUUUAAUAACAUCUGACGCUAAGUUGCAUCGUUUUUUACUAACUACUCUUCCACCUGCACUAAAAGCAGCUUCUGAUGCAACUGUACUCACAGGAACUGUUAGUACAUCACGAGCAAUUAUAGAAAGCACAGGAUAUUUGUGUUGAUGUGAUUUCCACCAUAUUAAAAUAUUAAAAUCUUCUUGAUCUUCAAAUGAAAUUAUAUCAGUAUUAAGAUAUUUAUCUAAAUCAGAUGUAUUAUUUGGAGAAUUAUUUGUUGUCUUUUUUCGACUUUUCAACAUUUCUAGAGCUCCUUUAUAAAAAGAUGAGGAGUUUGUAGAUGUAGGUGGUAAUUUAAUAGUAUUAAUAUCAUUACCAUAUUUUUCUUUAUAAUAGUUAUAUAAAUUAUAUAAUAAUGAAUUUAUUUCAUUUUUAAUUUCUUCAAUUUUUAUUUGGUCAUUAAAAUAAAUAAUUGUUAACCAUUCAUCCAAAGCUUCAAAUUUCAAUCUAGGGUCCACAAUUAAAGCAAUAUAAAAAAUUAAAGGUAUUUCUCCCCAAUAUUUUCUAAAUUUUUAUAUCAUUACAAAUAUUGUAUCAUUAAAUAUUUCAAAACUUAAAUAUUUUUGAAGUACAAUAAAAAUAUUAGUUAUUUGCGUAAUAACUCGAUUUGAAGUUGGAUAAUAUACACCACAAAAAAUGUUUGUUGAAGUAUCAAAAAUUUCAAAAAGAUCUCUUAAAACAUCCGCAAUAUGCCAAUCAUAAUCAUUUAAUGCAUAAAUAUCUGCUUCAUAAUCAUUGUUAAUUAAUUGUAUUUCAUAUAAUUCGACUACUUUUCUAUAUUUUGUAAUAUUUUCUAAAAGUUUAUAUGUGGAAUUCCAUCUAAUAGCCAUAUCCAAAUUUAUAUUUUUUCUUUUCAUAUUUAACAUUUUGCAACAAUCAAAAAAUAAUUCAUGUUUUGCUUGAAAACUAUUAAUACUAUAUGCAAUGCCUCUAAUUUUUUUCCAAUGUACUAUCAACAUUUUUUAAUCCAUCCUUUACAAUUAAAUUUAAAAUAUGUGCACAACAACGCACAUGAAAUAUUUUAGCAUGAUCUUCUUUUACUUGCCAAUAUCGUUUUAGUCUAUGUAUUGCUGCAUCAUUAUUAGCAGCAUUAUCUAAUGUUAUUGUCAAUAUUUUAUCACGAAUGCCUAAAUCUAUAAUUUCAUCAUUUAUUAAAGAUGCUAUAUUUUUACCACUAUGUGGAGUAUUUAUUAAUUUAAAUAAAAUUAUUCUUUUAUUUAAUUUCCAUUCAUUAUCAAUGUAGUGAACAAUUAUAUAUAAAAAACCAGUAUGAGUUAAAGAUGUCCAAAUGUCAGAUGUUAAACGAAUAUUUCCUUCAAAAUUUGCAAAAUUUUUUUUUAAAAUUUCUUUUUGUGUAUAAAUUUUUUUCAUAAUAUCUCUUUUAACUGUAUUUCCAGAUCAACCUUUAAAUUGAGGAUUAAUACCUCGUUGAAUUGUUCUUGCAAAAUCAUGAGUUUCCAUCAUGUUGAAAGGUUGUUCUGCUCUUAUUAUAUAAUCAAUCAUUUCUUCACAACAGUUAGAUUCAUCAUAAGAAAAUGUUUUUAAAUUUCCACUUUCAUUUUUACUUAAUUGCAUAUAAUUUCUAAUAUCUACAUUAUUUUUAGUUUUACAAUUUUCAUGAUGUCUUUUUAAAUGACUUGUAUCUGCAUUUGAGCCACCAGUAAGAAAUUUAUUACAAAUUUUACAUUUUGCUUUUAUUUUUUUUUUAUUAUUUUCUAAAAUUAUUUCUAUUCUAUCAAAAAAAUUCCAUAUAUUUAAAGUAAAUUUUUUGUUUGAUGAUAUUUCAUCACAUGGACUAGACGAAGAAGCACUUGUCAUAUUAUAAUUAUUGAUAAAAUAUUAUGCCAAAAAUAAUAAAGUAAUAAAUAUAAAAAAAAAUGUAACAAAAAAAAUAAAGUAGUAGGGGUGAAGUAUGUUACUCAAUUAGAGAACCUAUGCAGAAAUUCCUAGCAAAUUUGAACUCUUGGAGCCACCAAUGCUUGUUUUGCACCAUCAACAAUAUUGUAUAAUUUGAGGGAAAAAUAAAAGAAUUUAAAAUAUUGUAGAAUGUGAGAGAAAUAGAGAGAAUUUGAUGAAAAAAUGAAAAGGAAGAAAAUGUAUUUAUAGGAAGGUUAAAAAUAAUAAUAAUAAUAAUAAUAAUAAUAAUAAUAAUAAUAAUAAUAAUAAUAAUAAUAAUAAUUGGCCAUGUGACCGUUGGAGGCUUAGCUCCAACGGUCACAUGGGCUGGAGCUAGGCUCCAACAGUCACAUGACCGUUGGAGCCUUUAAUUUUUUUUUUUAAAAUAAUAUACUUUAUUUUUAUAUAUAUAUAACUAACUCAAUUAAUAAACAUAAAAAGAAUAUAGUUCAGUUGGUUAGAACCUUGAAGUUUAAACAUGAGGGGAGGGGUUUGAAUCCCUCCCUCUCCCUUAGGGGCUUUUUUAAAAGCCAUUUUGGCUUAUUUCAAAAAGCCUGUCGGCCCGACCCGCCCUGCAGCCCGCGGGCCUAGCAUUUUAGCAUGGCCUGGUCUGUUGACUAGUCAAAUGGCUCAUAGGCUCGGCCCGAACUGGGCCGCGGGCCUCUUAUUUACGGACCGGCCCGACCCGGCCCGCCCGUUGGAGACCCUUGAUAAUAUCUUCUAUAUUAAGUUACAUUAUAGUUUAUUUUACAAUAUUAUUAUGAUAAUAUGUCUAAUUUUAAAAUAUAUUUAAUAUUAAAAUUAUGAUCUAUUUUAAUUUAAAUGUAUUCAAUGAUAUCAAAUAAAUAAUAAUAUAUGUAUAAUUCUUUUAUUAUUUAUAUUUAUUAUUUUUAAUAAAUAUAUAGAUUAUAUAAAAAAGACCGGAUAUAUCUUUUCAAAUUUUGUAUCGCUCUCCAAGGAUAUUAGAUGUAUGGGAAUUUGUAUUGCUAUCUACGGAUACGUUGAUAUAUGGGUGAUUUAUCAGGAUAAUUAGAAAUUCUAAUUAUGUAAGCAGGUACGGAGUUCUGUGUCGGUGCGAUCUUGUCGACAACAGCUCCAAAUUGUGCAUCUUGCUCAUAGAGAGUAGCGGAAUGCACCAAUCGUAGGCUCAGAGUACCACUGAGUCGUCUGGCAGAGACCCAACUGAAGGUGCCUGUGUUGUUCCUGAUCUGAUCAGGCUUCAAACUACAAGGUGGAAUACUGGUUCCCCUAUAUCAGAAGCUGGAGAUACCCACCCCAUAUGCUCGUCUGGAUGUGCUCCUACCCUUUGAAGCCUUCUUCCGAGUCAAGUCCGAAUUGAUAAGGCUAGUGAGUUCCCAACCAACUGUACUCAGCAUGCUGCCAGGUGGAGACCCUCCAUAUUUGAUGGCUUCCUAAUAUUAAAAUGCUGACCACUGGUCUUCAUGUUCCACAGGCUUAAUUGUGUCCUUUGCUGAAAGAAUGGAUAGUGAUCCAUUUUAACACAUGAUUCACGCCGUCUUUGCCAUUCUUCAUGGUCUAGCCCUUUUAUAUAUAUGCUUCCUGAACUGUUGCUAUUAAUAAAAUGUGGUAUCUAUCCCGUACACCUUCCUGAUGGCCAGCGAAUGCAGAAGCUACAGAAACGGUUCCAUCUUUUGCUUCCGCCACUUUGGCAUCCUCCAUGAUGAGAUCGAAGGUGAAUAAUCAUAUUCUGGGGAUUUAUGUCCUGGAUAUUCUCAGUAAUGCCCAAUUUCCUGGUGCCGGCCUCAUUUCCAUGGGAACUGAUGGAUAACUUAAGGCUUCUACCAUCUGCGUGGUUCGCUUCUAACACAGGAAACUUCACGGCUAAAAGCAAGAUACCAAGAACAUCAAGGCUGUGACAAAAAUUAGUAUUUUUAACUUGUAGGAAUUUGAAAGGCAACCAACCAUCUAGCUCUGUUCUUAAAGCUCCCAUAGGAGGAUCAGAGGCUGGAUUGCUCAAGAUGAACUCAUCCAUUGUUGCACUUAAAAAGAAUUGGCAUGAAUUGUGGCCGCUCUAAUAGGUUCCCUAAACCAUCAUCCAAGUGGGCUUGCGGAAGGUAGCGAGUUUAAAACACCUAGGGCGAUGAACAGUGGACUGUGAUGCUCACAAAAGAGAAAAGGAAGAAUUCAAUAAUUCCUAAGAAUCCAUUUGCCUGUCAUCCAAAUUUUUAUAUUCUCUUCAGUCUGACGCGUUAUGCCAUAUAUUAAAAAUAGCGGCUUCUUCCAAGCCGAGACAGACUGUGCAAAGUUCGCAAGGCCAAUCAUCACCAUAAUCUGAAGUUGGCCUCCUCAAUCGCAGCUUGUAUCCGAAUGCUCACUUCACGGGAUGGAUUGUAAUGAAAACUAAUCUCAGUCCCAGCUAUGGCAGCAUCCUCACUUGACAGCAUUUUCUGCAUAUUCUAGAACAAAGCAAUAAACCCUCAAAGGCUCCUUCGGAUCAGAGUUAGAAGACUGUCCCUCAGGAACGUGAACACUAUGGUGGUUCUGAUAAGCAGUGAUAUUGCAUUAGAGCCUUUUGGAACAAGAGGAUCUUUUCAGGUGGAAACUGUAAAC